Molecule: long non-coding RNA, 62369 nt
Filed under: Durio zibethinus
Lineage: Eukaryota; Viridiplantae; Streptophyta; Magnoliopsida; Malvales; Malvaceae
Description: long non-coding RNA (DZIB_LNC001297)
Source: RNAcentral
GGUUUUUUUUGGUUUGUCUGAACUCUCGACUAUAAAUCCAGUUCGACAGUUUUUUUUUUUUUUAACCUGUAAAUCUCUCUCUCUUUGGUUCCUUUCCUAAAAGCUUUCUUCGCUCGCUGCCCAGCUGAAUUUCUUGUGCAGCGUUAUAUUUUCCUAUUUAUGUAACACUCUUGCCUUUAGUAUUCUCUAUUAUCUUAAUUAUGAUUUGCCUUUUUAUGGGAUUUGAUCGUUUCUUGAAACUUUGGUCGUGGAUGAUGUUAUCAUUUCAGGACUUUAUUACUCUUUGGGUUCGCACACAUAAAAUAACGCUCCCAUGAAAUUUAGACUUUAUUGAACAACAUCUUUCCUUGCGGGUUAUAUGCUUUACUUGAUCAAUCAAAACGCAGAUGCCUCAAAUUCACUCCUUCUCUUCACAUAAAAUAACGUUCUAGACUGUAGAAUCUCCGACUGCCUUCGUCUCAUGUGUCUUCCUUGAAACUCUUGAUCUCAUCACCUCUUUCUUCUCUCUAUUGCAGGCUAAAUGGUUGAAGAUUCGAGUGGGAUUGUUUGACCCGAAUACUGCUUUCUGUCGCUGCUGCUUCGCGUGGAGGUUCGGGGUUACCACAAGCUACAAUUAGAGAGAAAUAAGAGACAAUCAAAGAGGAAGAGAGAGGGGUUUUGUUAUGCUGAAGAUAAGGGGCAGUGCUGGAGAUAGAAGCAGUAUCAGUGUGCUUGUGACUGUUGUACAAACAGCACAAGAAGAGAGAAGCCUUUCAUCAGAUGUUAUCCAUUCAAAACCCUCCACCAGAUGCCCCAUGUCCUUGUCAAUUUCUAGUACAGCUGAAAAGUGGUGGUGAUGAGAUCGAGAGACCUCAUAAACUUCCUUUGCCUGAAGUAGAUCUGCUAAAGCAGCCGUCUCUUGAUAAUCAUCAUCAUCAUCAUCAUCCUAAUAUCCCACUCCCCGAAUUCUCCAUAAGGUAAUUUAAUUUGUGUUCCUUGUCCUCUAUCUAGCGUUAUCUUCAGCUCGAAAAUGAAUAGUAACCUUGAUGCGUUUUCUCAUGGCGUUCUAACAGCUUCUCUUUUAUCUUUUCUUAAGACUUUUCUUGGGUCAGAUCCAGAGUUUGAUGUUACCUGGUGACUCAGUUCAACAUGGGGCCUAACUAUUGACACACCCUAAUCUUGUCCCUAUUUUGGUCUUUGGAGGGGGCUUUUGCUUAUGAACUCCUUCACGGCACUUAAUACCUCCAGCCAUAAGAUGAUAUUAGUCAACCUGUAGUUGGCUCUUAUUUCUUGGUUGGGUCUUUGAUUUCACGUCACUUUGUACUUGGGAUUUUAUCUUGGAGCAAACUGCUGGGAAGUUCUUGCUUUGUCUUUGCUACCUGUGUACUUGUCUCAUCCUUUACCAUAUCAUGCAGCAGGCUGAGAGUACUUUCAUUUUUCCUUUUCUUUUUUGCGGGGGUUCAGUUUAAUAGAUUACUGAAUCUUGGGUUUUGUUUUGCUUGGCUGUUUCUUUGCUGUUGAUGUGUUCCUCUCCUUCGAGUAUUUUUAUGGUCCAUGUGUCCCCCUCCUUCCUGAGUUGGCAUACAAUGUCAUUCUUCUAAAUUUUAACCUUUGCUUCCCCUAAGAAAGCUCGUGGAUGAGUUAUUACUUCUUUUAUUAGUAACCCUUUGAGCAUAUAUGAAUUUUUGAUGAAUUUUAUCCCAGUACUGACAACAGAGAACAUCUUGUACUGUAGAGAUUAUGUGUUCACUGCCCGAGGCAAGGAUAUCAAGAAGAAUUGGCCGUUUUCUCCAAAAAAUUUGCAACUUUGUCUGAAGCAUGGCUUGAAGGAUCCAUUGCCACCAUUUCAGCCUCUUGAUGUGGUAAGAAACCAAUCCGUAGAGAGAUGUGUGGUUGAAACGAAUCCAUUUGAGAGGCAAAAUACAAGGAAAUUCGAUGAAGAGCCAUCUGGGCCAAACGAUCAUAUGGUACUAGAGUCAUCCAAUAAUGCUUACUCAAACCAUAACCUAGCAGGUAUUUGCAUAGACGAUAGCUUGUGCAGAUCCGGAGGAGAACAUGAAAAUGAUUUACCCUCCACAACGACAAGUGUUUCUCAAUCUGAAAUAGAGUCGGUUUUGAUUAACAAGGAAUCCAACUUACCAUUAGAAACCGAUACUUCAGUGGAAGCAUCAGCUGAAGUUCAAGCUGCUGUUCCUUUUAAGUCCCAUAAGACCGAAAACACAACCCGACCCACAGGAAAGAAGUGCAGAUUAAUAGUGAAAUUUGGUGCCCAUUCUGAUCGUAGCUCGCCUGAAGAUAUUGCUUCAAAUUGUACCAUGCUAUCUGAAUCGAUGGCUUCUAAAGUUUGCCCUGUUUGUAAAACUUUUUCGUCCUCUUCUAAUACCACCUUGAAUGCUCACAUCGACCAGUGUCUUUCUGUUGAGUCAACUGCCAAGUGGACAGCGGAUUCUAAGCUUACCAGGCAUAGAAUUAAACCAAGGAAGACAAGACUGAUGGUGGACGUAUAUGCUACCGCUAAAUCAUGCACAUUAGAAGAACUUGACAGGAGGAAUGGUACAAGCUGGGCCACCGCGUCAAAAAUCCCUAGACAGGAUUCUGAGAGACUUGAAAUAUCUGAUGAUGGGAAAAAGAAAAGAGUCUCCCCCAUUAAUCCCGAGGAUACUAGUGAUGCAGGUGCUGUUUAUGUUGAUGCCAAUGGUACCAAACUUCGGAUUUUAUCAAAGUUUAAUGAUGUGCCACCAGUGUCAAAAGUUGGAGAUGAUCUUGGAACGCACAAAUCUUUGAAAGGAGGUAAAGGAAGCAAAUUCUUUUCAACCAAAAAGAAAAGGUGCCAUGCCCCAAAACAUCACAAGUAUCUCAAACUUGCUCCUCAAAGCAGAAAAUUUUUCUCGCAUAAGACCCGUUCUUCAACGGUAUGACUCUCUUUUCUCCAUAUGGAUCUUCUGUCCUUUGUACCAGAUUAUUUUAUAUUUCUUUCUUAGGUGCAUUUGAAGAAAUUUUCGGUGUGUAUUUGUUGUUAACUAGCUGAUUGGGUUAUCUUUCUAAAUGCCUAGAAAACAUAAGUAUUUCUGAAGUGAAAAUUAAACAACCAUAUAUGCCCUUAGUUGCAGAAUCCUCUCCAUGUUUUUGUAGUUUGUGAUUAUAACUUUAGCAGUGGCCGUGGUAUCCACUUAGCUGCCAGAAUAAUAGGGUGUAAAAUAUAAAUGCUUUCUUGACCUAAACAAAAUUUGACUUAUCAUCUUUGAUGCAAAUUUUGUAAUCUAAGAAUUUAGUAUUGGAAAUCAAUACAGUUGCUAUACCGUUUUUAAACAGAUGGUUGGAGGACAAGAAGGAUACUGUGGAGUAGAAGAAAGACCUCGACCACAUGUGCCAAAGCAAAUCAAAUCCAAUGAUUCUAGAAACUUUAGAGAAAGGGUGUGCUCUAAACGAUCAGGUCUUUCAGGGAAGCCUAAUAAUCAAGAUGGACAUCAACCUUUGAUUUGUAAACAGCAUGUUUCUCGGGGCUUGCGGGUUCAGAGUCACCAAUCACAUCAAGGUGAUCUUGUUGUGGAGAGAAAUUGUGUUCGCAAGCUUAAAAAUUCAUCUGAAAGUCCAAUUUCUUCUCCUGAGAAAUGUGAGAGCAUAGAGAAGCCUGUUUAUGAAGCCCCAGUUAUUGAUAAGAGGGAGCCUUCUACGGGAAAAAAGGGAGUAAGGAGUCCCUUGUUUGGAGCCAGAAUCUGUAACAAGGUGGAGAGGUCUUUUCACCCACUUAAGCAAAAUGCAAAUCAGUUGAGCAAAGACCAUCCCCAUCUAGAUGAGGAUUAUAUGGUGAGAUCUCUAAACUCUGGUGGAAAUUGCUCAUCUUCAUGGAGCAAAAAGAUGGUUGAUAUUGGUGCAAAUAGUAAUCCCGAUACUCUAGUUGCUGCUAUUUCACCUAUCAGUCAUCUUUCUUCUGCAUCCAAAUGCUUCAGAUUUUCCUCACCAAAGAAAAAUGUGCGGUCUUCUAGCAGCCAGUCAUCCAUGGUUAAAUCUAGUUCUAGCUUGGUUAAGAAUUAUUCAACAAGGGAGAGUCAACUGCAUUUUAUGGCAGAAAUAGAUGAGAAGGAAGUGGCCUGGGAUCUUGAGGCAGAUCAAGAAUGUGACUUAGUGCAUGAUGGUGCUAAAAAUCAAUGUGAGGGGAAAGAAAUUUCUGAAGAAAUGUCAUUUGGUGGAAGCGGUAUCCAGGGAGCCGAAGAACAAAGAGGAAGAAAAAGUAUUUCCCGGAGGGAGGAAAGCAUGGCUUUGAUGAGCAUAAAAUCAGUACCUCAUGGUUAUGAUCAUGAUGAGAGAGAGAACUCAGAUUCUUCUGUAAGAGGUAGUCAUCAGGAUAUUCUGUAUAAAGUUGAUGGUUUGGAAUCUAUUGAGGAGACGCUUACUAGUUUGAAUCAGUCAGUAGAAACCAAGUUUAACAAGCUGAGUAAUCUUUCCAAGAAUAGAUCCAAUUCUUUACAGACUAAUGAAGAUUACAAUGGGCCUUUGUGUGGGGUUGAAGGACUGGCUGACCCUGCUGAGCCAAGUCUUGUUGAAAAACCAAAAAUGUUUUGUGCUGAUGUUGGCCACACUAUAAUUGGACAUACUGCUAAUAUGGGAGGAGAAUUAGAUUCUGAUGCUGCACAACGGAAUUCUUUUCCUGAGGUUGAUCCAAUACCUAUUCCUGGUCCACCAGGAUCAUUUUUGCCUAGUCCUAGAGAUAUGUGCUCUGAUGAUUUUCAAGGGAAUUCGUCAUUGACCAUCAGCCGGAUUCAAUCCUCUCAAGAUCAGCUUGAUUUGGUUGAUGGGGACUCAUCAGAUUCACCCAUAUCUGCUGUGUCAACAAUCUCUAAUUCUGCAGAAGCUAGGUUAGAUUUGAAGUAUGGAGAACCAUUAGCAUUUGCUGGUGCUCCUGCAGCUCUAAAAAUGGAUAGGUCUGGCUACUCUACUGCCAAGUCUGAGCCCUUAGUUGGGCACGGUGCCGUUGUUCCACAUACAAGCUCAGGACCUGAAAGAACUUUUGAAGGAGAGAAGUUUAGAGCCCGUAGAAUAUCUUUUGAAAAGAGACCUUUGAUUUUUAAAAAUGAUGAUCAGACAUGCUGUUGCCAGAGAAAAGACAGAUCCUCCCAGGGUUUUGCCCUGAAUUAUCAGGAGUCCCAACUAUUAAGGCGACGAACAAUGGCUUCAAUGAUGGUGCCUGCCAUGGGAAUGCCAGUCGGUGCCAAUCCUAAUAUCAGUCCUAAUAAUUUGGAUGCAAGACCAGAAACAUUUUCUCUGAGCAGCAGUACAAGUUUAGGAUCUGAACAAAUGGUUCUACCUGUGAUCAUGAAACCCCCUUCAGGUCCCAUUCCUUUUAAAGGAUUUCCUGAUGCUGGUGUCAAGCUUUCCAGUCGUGGUGUCUGUGAUUCUGCUAGCCCACCUUCUUCUAAUCCCAUUCUCAGGCUGAUGGGAAAGAAUUUAAUGGUGGUUAACAAAGAGGAAGACGCAUCUGUGUCACUUGGUCAGGCCCAGUCAUGUGCCCAGAGUAAUCGUCUAACUCCUAACUUUCCAACUUCUUCUGGAAUCUCUCCUAGCAAUAUCCGGAAUCAAGGUGGCCAGCCCGUCCAUCACACAACGUCUCAGGGUUUUUUAUUCUUUGAUCAGAAUCCAAAUUAUUUGGUGGGGCAAUCUUUUGAUGUCCGAUUGACAAACGGCUAUAGAAGCCGUGCAAAUCUUGCAAAACCAGAAACACCUGUGCAAUUUCCAGCCGGCAUGUUUUUCAAUGGGCAUAUGGACUGUGGUUUCACAACCUCCAUGGAGCUGUACAAGUGUGAAGAUAACUAUAAUUUGCCAACUCGGCCGAACAGACCUAAGAACAAAGUAGGUUCAGCAGCAACAUAUGAUAUGGAGAAAGUUGCAAGCCUAGACUGCGGACAUAGGAAUAUUGGGGAUUCUGCCGUUUCCAGUAAAGAAAUCAUUGUCAUUGAUGAUGCUCCUGAAAGUGAAACAAAUAAGACUGCCGAUGUUGCCGAACACUCUGCGGGCUUGAGGGAAUGCCCACUAAUAUUAUCUGGUAUUUCAAUGCCAUUAGUUCCUAAUCAUAGUGUACGGCACAGGAAUCCUUUUCAUUGUUAUCAGUCAGAUGGCACUUUUCUAGGUGACCCAACUAUCCUACAAGAUAACAACUUUAAUGCAAUCCCUUCCGGACGAGCCAAUGCUAGUCCUGUUAGGCGGGAUUGCUCUUCGGAAGGUUCUGGUCAUGUGCUGCAGCAGGCUCCUCUUAUGGCUGCAUCGCCCUCAACAGGCUAUCUGAGAUCUGCACUUUACUAUUCUUCAAGUUUCUCUUAGCAGCUUUGCUUGGGAUGGGAAUUGUUAGAAGGUCUGUGCUGUGCAUCAGCAGGUUUCAUGUCAAACUUGUACUGAAUCUUGAGCUUCUUGAUGACUAAUGACAGACAGAAACUUUUGGGCUUCAAAAAUGAUUUUCAACAACUAAAUAUUGGCAGUUUGAUCUAAUAGAUUCAAAGCAAGUUCAGCGAUUGAGAUCUCAGAGUUUGUAUUUAUUUUUUAUUCAUUUACUGUUGGGUAAACUUUUUGCGGUUUUUGAGGCUUCUGCUUAGACAAUUAGAAAGUUAUCACAAAGACUAGAUAAUGUAUAAGCAAUCCUUGAAUAAAAACUGAUUACCGACCUUGGCUUCAAGCCAAAUGGAGUUAAAAGUGCUCCUAUAGAAAUAUUUAUCUUGUUUUUCUAAUUUUAUUUUUUUCUUUGGAGUUGUUUUCACGUUUUCAAAUGACUUAGCUUGUGAAUCAAGGCAAUGAUUUUGUCAAUCUGACCAAUGAAUGGUGUACUGUGGACAUUAUGAUCAGUGAUCAGUUUCAAUGUCUAUUUGUCGUAACCUGUGCAGCUUUAGGAAUUCAAAUAGGAGUACUGUAGAAUGAUGAACUUUCAAAAUCGUUUAUCAGCAGAUGAACUCAAGAUCGUUGAAAUCGGCACACACAUAUAUAUAUAUAUAUAUAUAUAUUGGCUCUGCAAUGAUAUAAAUAGGACGUGUAGAUAUAGAUGUGAACAGUCUGUGAGUGUGUGGCAACCUGUGGUGCAUGAUGAAGAUAUAUUGUAAUAGAGAAGAGCUUUGAGUUCAUCUUUUUCACGGCUGAGCCAUUGACAACUCAGUGUGAGAAUCCUGCAUCCAUGGCAGCAUAUUAGCAUGCUCGUGUGACACUAUAGAUGCUAGUUUAUUCAGUGAGGAAAAUGUCGGUGUAGGUGAGAACUUCAAAGGUGAGAACUUCAAAGUUGCAGCUGGAUGCUAAUUAGUACACAUAGAUAGAUGGAUGAGUAUUACAUAAAAUACAAAAUCUAUCGGGCAAAGGAUUAAAAUUUAGGCCCCAUUUGUUUUUGAAGGCAGCGUUAGUACAAUGAAAUUGAAAUAUUUUUUUUAUUCAACUGCACCGGUAUAAUCCAUUUGGAUAACUUACGGUGCAGUGAUUAACUAUACUGAUGCAAUAAUUUUGCGUGGGAGAAAAAAAAAAUUCCAGUGAGUAACUACAUUGGACUUUUUUGCCAUAAUACUAUAUUUUUAGUUUUUAAUUUCUUUUUAUUAUCAUCUUUUAAAAAAUAAUUAUAAAAUAUUAUUAUAUAAAUAAAUACAAAAAAUUAAUUAAAUAUUACUUUAUUAAGUUUUCAUUUAUGUAAAUAUAUUAUUAUAAAAAAUUUUAAUAAAAUUAUUAUUUGACAUAAAAAUAAUUUUAUUAUUUUUUAAAUUAUUUGUUAACUUAACAAAUGACAAAUAAUUUAAAAUUUUUAUUGUACAUAAAUUGUAUUUAAUUUCUUAAUAAUAUUUUUUUUCAUUAUAAUGUAUUUUUUUUAUUAUCAUUAUGUAUUCAUCCAUACAAAUAUUUUUAUAUUAAUUUUAUCACUAUAAAAACUAAUUUUAUCAUCAUCAUUAUUAUUUUUAAUUUGUCAUCUGUCUAAAUAGACCUUAAUUAGUAGUGAUUGACAUGCAUAAAAGAGAAGGGAAGGAGCUAGAUAGAUACUAAUUCGAAGUGUUGAUGGUUUUUUGGUGAGGAUGAUUAGUGCUUUGUCCGAAGUUCGUUGGAGAUCGACUGCAAGACGAAGAAUGGUCAAAACAUUGAAGAUAAAAUUUUGAGAUCAAUCAUUUAACAAGAGAUGAGAGAUAAAAGAAAUGAAACAUUGAAUAGGAUGUACCUGUGCUCCACCCUUACCUUUUAUAAUGAUGCUUGAGUAAGCGGGUAGUGGACCACGUAUUCAGUUUUGAGAAUCAGAUGACUGAGAUACGCUGAUGGAAACUAUCCUAACUUUGAAGGGUUGACCUUGGUAAUCUUGAAGACUAAACAAAAUGAAAUGUCAUUACUAAACAAGUAAAAACAGAUAUAGAUCAUAUAGGAGCAGUGUGUGUUAAAUGAUGGCUUUGAAUCUAAUUUUGAUGUGGGGCAGGACAUAGGGCUUAGGGGACAAUUAGUGAGUAGAAGAAAUUAGUAACGAAUGAAGUUGCAUAUAGAAAUGUAGUGGGGUCAGUGGGGUGUAGUUUAAUUUUUUGGUCAGCUCAGAUGCUGUUGUUGACUCAAGUCAAGCUCCUCUUAAGUUUUACAUAAUUAAUCACAUUUGGCUGUCGUUGCUAAUUAUAAUGAGAACUGAUAAAAAAUGAUUCAACAGUACAGUACCGGGUGAUCAUUACACCAUGAAAAAUGAAAUAUAGGCGUUAAAGGAGAAGGAACCCCGUCCACUGUGAUUAUAAAAUAAAAAGUUGCAAAUGACCCUUGUGUUGGGCAAUAGUAUCUUUUACUUUUAGUUUAAGAUAGAGGUGGGGAAAAAGAGUGAAGAUAUCGGUCGGUCACUGCACUUUGGGUUGGUUGGUGUAGUUUGCGUUAAUUUCUGCAUGGUGAAAGCCUAGCUUAAAUAUAACUCUUUCACAAAGGAGAAUAUGCCCCCAUUUUCUGAAAGCUGUGGUGUGGGCCAUUCCUUUGUCUUUCUCUCUCAUUAUCACUUUUUAUUUAUUCUGUUUUUCUAUCCACACGAUCUACAUUAAUUUAAAAAAAAAAAAAAAGAAAAAGAAAUGCGUGGCCUUGCCUUUGUUCCUGGUAGUAUUUUUCUCCUUAAGAAAUUGAUUUAAUUUUAUGUUAAUUUUGAUUAGUUAUAUUUUGAUUUUAUUGAUUAUUUAUGUGAUUAUUCAAUAAUUUAAUAAAUAUGAAUGUAUUAUUUGAAUCAUAACAAUAAUUUCUUUUAUACUUAUAAUUUCAUAAAAAAUAAUAUUAGUAAGUAGUAUUAACAAUGGGAGUUAAUUGUCAAUGAGGAGCUACUAAAACUUUGAGUUCUUAGAUUCAAAAUUUAUCAUGCAUGUAUUUAAUUGUUUAGUUAUUUUAUAAUUUAUAAAUUGAUUAUUCAGUUAUUAUAAUUUAAUUGUGAUACAAUAGUUAAUUAUAUAAAUUAUUAUUAUUGUAACUUAAAAAAUAAUGGGAGCUAACUCAAUAUUAACUUAGACAUCAUACAUGUUGAUUAAACUCUUAAAAAUUAUAGAUUCAAUAAGAUUUAGGUACAUAAUGUCUUUUCAUAUGAGUUAAAUAAAUAGAGAUCAAAAUUCUAAGAGUAAAUUAAAAUUUUCAAAAAAAAAAAAAAAUACUAACAGUUAUUGCUACUUGAUUCAUGGAUUAUUUAUGUAAUUAAUAAUAGCAUUUUGUUUCACAUUACAAUUAUAUUAUUAUUAAUACAUUAAUGGAAUAAUAAAGAAAAUUUGUUUAAUUAUAUUUAUUUAAAAUUUUUAACUAAAAUGCUACUAAUAUUAAUACUAUUAUAUUUAUUUAUGUAAAAUUGUUUAAUAGUGUAAUUGUAAUAGGAAACAAAACGCUAUUAGUGUUGUUUUCUUUUUAUUUUGGAUAAUAUUUUCUAGAUUUAUUUAUUCUUAAUUUUUAAUUUUUAUUUACUUAUUUAAAGAAAACAUUACAUAUCGUCUAAACUUUUUAAAAUCUGCAAUUUUAAAAAAUCCUACCAACAUCCAUAUUAUUUAAGAUAAUACUUAAUUAAUAUGUUUUGAAGAAUAUAAUAUAGCUAAUAAUAUUAUAUGUAUAUAUAUAUAUAUAUAAAUUUAUAUAAUAGUCUAAGAGAAACAACUUUGGUUUAAACUGUCGUUUCAUUUUUUACAUCACAAAUGUAUGAGAUUGGAUUUUAAACACAAAAACCAAACAAACCGUCCAACAUUUUUGUUUUUUUGAACGGUUGUCGUUGUCUGUCUUGUCGUGUCGUACCGUUGGUAGCGGGUGGUCAAAACUCAGAAAAACGAGAUGCAGAACCACCAAUCAACAGCCGCCACGUACACCACCAUCCCCAUCUCAGCUUCUGACGUCAUCUCUCGCUCCAUUCACAAUCUAACAGCCACCCUCUUCCGUCACCUGCGUCCCUGGCCUCAACUCUUGGGCUCCGGCUCCGGAUCCUUCUCCCGACCCCACUCUCACACCUUUGUCUCCCGUGCCCCGGCCAACCUCCGUUAUUUCCGCGCCAACUACUCCAUCGUGGUAGCCGCCACCUCCGCCCUCUCCCUCAUAGGUUCCCCGCUCUCCCUCCUCCUCUUCUGCGGCCUCUUCACUCUUUGGCUCCUCCUCUACUUCUUCAGAGAGGACCCACUCGUCCUGUGUGGUCAUUGUGUCAGCGAUCGCCUCGUGCUCUUCUCUUUGGCUUUCCUUUCGGUGUCGGCUGUCUGGGUUUGCGGCGUCCUCCCAAAUUUGGCCUUAGGGUUUGGGAUUGGGGUCCUCGUGUGCGGGGUCCACGCCCUUCUUAGGAACUCCGAUGGUCUCUUUCUCGAUGAGAACGACGCCGUUUCUACUGGAUUGGUCCACUCAGUUGCUGCUGCAGGGACUACAACUACAUGUGCUGCCCCUUCUCCGAAUUAAUUAGAAGGAUUUCUUUUCUUUUCUUUUUUGUUUUUGAAGAUGUUGAAUUUCAAUUGCAUUCUGAAUUUCUGAUGGACAGGUUUGGUUUGGUUUGGUUUGAUUCGUACUUUGCAUAGACUGUGGAGUGUGGAGUGAGGUUGUCUGUCCGUACUUGGUAUUUAGUUGGAUUGUAGAUCGUCAAUGAUGAACUUGCUUGCAUUGAAAUUGAAAUGCGUGUGAUUCUUUUCAAGGUUGUUCUUCCUUGCUAUUGUUGUUUGUUUAUUGCUUGCUUUUCUUGCAUCAGAAACCAGUGUCCAACUCUUAAUUUCGCUAAAAACUGAAAUGAAAUUAACGUUUCUUUCAUGUUGUUCCCAUUUUCUAUGUUGAGCUUUAGUCCUUGGAUUUGAAAAUGGGACUGCCACGCUAUUUUCUUCAUAUUCAAUCUAAUGCUGGCUGUUUAACAAUACUCAAAUUAAUGGUUAAUGAAGGCAUUGGAAAAUUGAUCUGCGAACGGAAAAUUAUUCUGUUUUAAAAUGCCAAUGGGUUAUCGACGUUAUCCAAAACUUGUGGGUGGAACCGAAUGUGAAUGACUUGCUUUGCUCAUCACAAUGCUUACAUGUUAGAGGCAUUACUCUCCUCGAAAUUCAGACACUCCACCAAACGUGAGUUACAUAACUAUCCCGGCCCGUCCAUGUUAGCAAAAACCCAUGGAAUUUCUUUUGUGAAAACUUAGAUACAUUUAAAAAAUAAAAAAUAUGACAUGGCAUUGAUGUGGCAUAAGACACUCCACUAAAAGAAAUAAGUUUAAAACCGUGUCAGAAAAAUCUCGGUAGUGGUUGGUGUAGGAGUUUGUUUUCCCAACAUAAAGAUCAUAUUAGCGUAAUUCAACAAAGCAGUGACAUUUCCUAUCUAUUCCAAGUGAAGAAUGGAAAAUAAAUACAGAUUUAUCACCGUAUUUUACAUUGUGAACAAAACUUAACUUCUAUUGAGAAUAAGCUCCAUCAUAUCUUGCUCCUCAUUCUCACCAACUUUGCAAGUGUUUCUUGAGCUGCCAAGGUUAGUGCAUGAUUGUGCCCCAGCAUCACUGUCCGAAUACUGAUACAAGUUCUGCAGAGCUCUUCACCGCUGUCAAAAUGCCCACCUCUUAACAUCAGCUUUGCUCUCGUUUCCAACAGGGUAGCCUUCAACAAUGUCACAUCUUGCCACACGUACUCGUCCAACCUUUGAUUACCUUGUAACUUGUUUUUCCAACAAAGCGACCCAUGACACCAGUCUUGUGUUUGAGAUACAAAAGACUUUUCUACUUCCUCCAACACAUUUGUGCACACCUUCAAUAACUCCAAUGCAGAGUUGCAUCUUGAGAAUGUUGUGAAGGAUCUAAUUGCUAAUGGCAGUGCCGUCUUUUUUAUAUACAAAACCAUAUCAAUUGCUUUUAAUUGCACAAUAGGAGGCUCGGACUUAAAUCCAAAUACAAUAAAUGCAGAAGCCCAUAGAUGAUCAGAAUUCAGCAAUGGGUUCCCAAUUUUUCUUAUGCCUUGGACUGUGGCUUUAGCAGCGGAUAAACACUCUUUCCUCUUUGCAAACUCUUGAGUUAUAGGAUGGAACUGAAUCCAACAUCCAGUCUGUCGAUUAACUCUUCUUGCCAAUCCUAGCUUUACUAGGAGAAUAGCGGAAUCUUCCUCAAUUUGAGUAGCUAAACCGCAUCCACCACACAAGCCGAACGUGAGACUUCGGAACUUAAUCCACCUUCUGAAUCGGUUUCCAUCAACAGGCAUAUACUUAGCCGCAGUAGUUAGCAAAUUUGCAGAAAUGGGUGAUGGGGCAAACCAAGCACCAACAAGAAGCAUUCCAGAGGCGAGAAUGUUCCUUCUCCCAUUAACUUUCUGCAAUACAGCAAAGCAAAAGCAUAGAAUUUUCAUCAGGAAUGGAUUGUUUUUGCAGUAUUGCUUACCAUUAGUCCUCACAUAUGAUGAAGUAGAACCAUCUUCAAGCGAGACCUCGUUCACAGCUUCAAAGAGUGCAGAUGGAGAAAUGGCAAGUUCGGAAAGCAGUGAACCAAUAAUCCACAAACCAAAGCUCAGUCUUUCCAAUUUCUCAUCAAAUUUUCUCAAGGACUCCAACUCCUCAGCCGGAUAGACUUUUUUCCUUCUUCCUCUUACUAAAAUCAUUGCAUCAGAGAAAGGCAAUGGAGGAAGCUGGAUUGUGUCAAAAUUCAUAACCUUUGAUAGCCUAGUAGUGAUAAUCACAUGAGUCCCACCGGUGUUCCUGGGAAUUAAGUCAUGCAGGUCUUUUCCUUCCCACCACUCUCGCUCUGUCUCAAGAUUAUCGAUGAUCAAAAGAUAAGGCAUGUCACGAAAGACAUCUCUCUUCACUCGCUUGAAUGCUUCAAAUUCCUGCUCCUCAAAGCUUCGAAUGUGGCCCCUUUCCUUCUCAUCUUCAGCACUCACAUCCAAUCCCAAAUCGAGUGAUAAGUUCAAUAUAUUCUGCCGGAGAUAUCGGGCUUCUCCACCAACCCAAAGAACCAUCUUAUAUCUCUGAGAAUACCUAUAAGCAAAUUCAAGAGCCAGCUCUGUCUUUCCAAUGCCUGGAACCCCAUUAAUGCAAAUCACACUGCAGCGUAAGCUCUUGUAGUUCCCACUUUUUGAUUUCUUGUAUUUGGACCUUUUCAUUGAAUUUCUUCCCGUGACUGGCUCAAUCCAUGUCUCUAGAGUAGGCUCUUUGCACUUAUCUAAUCCCAGAUUAAUAUACCUCCCUCUAGUGGAAACAUUACCACUUUCUUCAUCCGCAAGCCCUUCGGAUUGCCCGCUUGCUUCACUUUUUAUAAUAGGCAUAGAGCAACAAUCUUGCUCAAGAGAAUCAGCAUGUCCAAAUAAGGAAGUUUCAAUCUCCAUAAUCUCCUUCUGUCUUCCCACAAAAAACCUGUUUCUCGGGAAGGGCAGCUCCUCAAAUCCUUCACCAACAAAGUCUUUCUCUGCCACACUAUUCCUUCCAAGCUUUGCUCGCAAUAUUCCUGCAGCUUUGGCUACGCAGCUUCUCCAAUUACCCUGAUUAGCUUCCAGCUUGAACUCAUGACACUUGAUUAGGCCGUCAAUUGCUUCUUUGCAUUCUUUAUCAACUGAAUUGCAGUUGAGAAGUCCCAUGAUCUCAGCAGGUCCCGUGUCAAAGAAGAGUGGAAUCAAGUUUUUCUUUUGAUAAAAGAAUCUAAUUUCCUCCAAGCUGAGAUGAUUGAGAAAGCUAGAAUUAGUGACCACCACAACUCCAUAUGUGGCUGAGCAGAUUACUCGGUCAGCAAUCUCAUGGCUCUGACCAUCUGAAUACUUGGCUCUAUCUGAAACAAAGCAAGCAAUACCCUGAAGCUCCAGCUCUGACUUAAGCCACUUACAGAAGCGAGCCAAGUUAGGAUUUUGACCGUGGAAGCCAAUGAAAACGUCACAGCUCCUGAGUUUGGCAUUAGAAGCAGGAGAAACAGGAGCUUUUGCGAAGGAAAUUCGAGGCACUGGAAAUGAGAAUGAGAUGCGUGGAGCAGGAUCUGGAACUGGAACACAAGUUACAAAUUUGAGCUUCGGAUCUGCAGGGUCGUCAGAGUAUUCAUACUGUUCUGAUGGUGGAGUGUAUGAACUACUUGGUAUAUCAUCGGAUUGUGAACCCCCUCUGUACGAGACUGGUGUUGAUGGAUGAGUAACAAGAGUAGAGUUAUCUUGCGGGGUUGAGUUCUCUUGGGGUUUCGGGAUUGUGGCUCUUGGUGAUAUAUAUGGUGACUGCAAAGCUGAAACAAAUGCUGACGAUGGUGGGGACACCAAGGAGGGAGAGUUGUAUGGAGAUGACUCAAUUGAGGUUUUUAAGCUUGGAGGAUGCAAAUCCGUGGGGAUCAAAGUUAAAGCAUCUUUACCAGUUUUGCUACAGCAAGAUGAAGUCUUGAUGGUGAGGCUGCUGGGAUGGUUUUCUUGAGAAAGUUUGCCGCUACCUGAUACUGAUGCUUCUUCUUCACCCAUAGCCAUGAAGGUUUUGAUGUCUGUGGCAGUGCAGUAGAUCUCACUUCUUCCAAGUUCUAAGAAAGCUAAGCUCUAGUGCUGUACAAUGUUCUUCUCUAUAGUCUACAGUCUACAUCGUAAUGGUACUUUUCUCUGGUUGUACUUUGAAAGUUAUUAUCAGUCCGGUAGCAGAUAUAAUCCCUUGCAUUAUGUGCGUCACCAUAGAACCUGAGCGCUUCCUGGAUUCUCUUGCAUCAAUUUUCUCUGACAGAUAUAAUUGAGUCAUUGAGUGAAUGGCUCUGACCAAAGUCUAUGGCAGAAGAUGAAUGCUACAGUGAUGCCUUCACACAGGAGAGAUCUGCACUGCAUGUGAUUUAUCUCACUUCAUAUUUGUGGGCCUCGCUUCAGUCAGAGCUACUCCAGUUUUCUUGUGCCUAUGGUGGAGUUGGUUUGACCGGAAGUAUUAACAAAGAGGAGAACAGUCCAUUAAACAUCAUAAACUGUUACAGCAUUUUAGUUAUCAUUUGAUUGGGACGGGAAUCAUUCAGGCUUUGCUCUGAAAAACUGAAACAGUAAAUGGAUGAUACUGAUUAACGCUUAAUUAAAACAACACAUGAGCAAUGCUUCAAAUCUUUCUUUAGACCUAAUAUAACAAGUGUGUAAACCAGUGCUUAGUUUCAUUUCAUAUAUAUAUAUAUAUAUAUAUAUAUAUAUAUAUAUAAUAUCCAUUCCAGAAAACUGAUGCAACAGAAUAGAAGUUUACUUACCUCAGCUUUGCUUUACUUUGAGGCAAUGGAAAGAAGAGAAACCCUUCGCUGCAAAUCCUGAAUGGCCAUGUCUAUCUUCUCUCUCAAAAGCAAGCUGGAGAGAAGGGGGGAAUCUAAUGUUGGGCAGGAUCUGUGAGGUUCGGAACAUAUAAUAUUAGAUAAAUGCUUAAAAAGAAGCUGCAGAGGGCUAAUGGUAUAGUUAUUUAUUUGAUUAAUUUAAUAGAUUGUGUUGGGCUUAGGCCAUUUAUUUUUGUUUUUUGUGUUGUACUAUUUAAUCUUUCGAUUCUAAAUCUAACACGGGGUUCUCACUUGUCACAGAAGCCAAAGAUUGGUCAGAGAAAAGGGCAUUGGAAGGGGAACCAUUAUUCAGAGCUUGUUGGCAGGGGUUGUAUGAUCAAGGGUUCAACAGCAUUAAAAUAAAGCAAUCAAGUUAGUAUUGUCUAUUAAUUAUUUUAUAUUAAAAAUUUACAAGAAUGCAUUUAUUUAAUUAAUAUUACUACUAUUAUAUUAUUGUUUAUCCAAUCCAGGUCUUAAUAUGAAUGUGUGCCCAUCUGACACAGUUUGAAUCUAUUUGCACCGGAAUUGGACCAAAGACCAGUCCAACUGAGAACCGAGCACCCACUGCUGUAUUAUUGACUCCUUCCUGGACAUUGAGAAAAUAGAUUGAAACCUUUUAUUUAUUUAUUUUAUUUUAACUAGUAGGGAAGGAGUGGUACCUUUUGGACCUCAUGAGUAAAACAGCACCUACUAUUCCAGUAUACCUGUCCUAUAUAUUUGGCAGCUGAAAUCACAGUGUUCACUGCUCAUCCAGGAUUGCAUUCGACAAUGUGGAAAAAGAAUUCUGGCACAUGAAUCUUUGUCAAAGCCAGUGGAUUAUGGACCUAAGCAUAUGAUUUACAAUUUCUCAUCUCAGAUAUAAUACCUUUUUUUUUCCUUUUCUGUAAAUGUAAACGAAUUAAAUAAAUUAAAAAUGUAAAGUAGUUGUAGAAAAGAACAAGAAAAUUGCAUAUAGAUAAGAUAUGUAAUUCAAGCUGAUAGGAUUUCUUACAAACUAAACUUUCCCAUGUUGAAUUUCAAAUUCGACCAAGGUGAUUAAGAAGUUAUAUAUGCAUGCAUGCAUGCGGAUUCUGGGGUUAGGGUUAGGGAGUUUAUGAUCGACUAAAGACUUUUUCUCAUUUUCAUCUUUUUGGUUUCUCUGUUAUGAUUUAUGAAUGUGUUUCAACUUAAGUCAUUGCCUCAGUGGUAGAAAUUUAAUUCACACACAAGCAAGCAUGUUGAGGCCUAAACCCAUAAGGGGAAAAAUUAACAUAAAAUAGAAGAAUGUGAUUCAAUCAAAUAUAUAAUCAUUACAAGCAUUAUUUCAUACAGUAUUCUAGGCCAAAAAAGUAAACAAAUAUCCCAUGUGCCUUUACGUAGAAAGCUUCUAUAUUUUUACUAUUAUGGAGGGCCAACUAAGGCCAUUGAUACCAGGGUGCUUGCCCUCUAUAAUCCUAAAGCUUCAUCUCUUUCUUCCUUAAAAGUUUUCUUAGACUCUCUUUUUUCAGAAAUUAAAAACUAUAAGCUCCUCUGCCUGUAAUCAUAGAGUUAUAUAAAAAUUAUUUGAAGUUAAUGACUCUACAAUUCGCAAAAGCUAGCUCUUUAUUUAAAUAAAGCCUAUAUGUGUUCUGCUCUCUAAAAUAUGUAUCCCCAUUAUAUAUGCCAGAGUCUAAUGCUCUUUCAUUUUGAAAGUGAGAAGCUGUCUCAGCAUGGAUGGAAGCUGACUACAUUAUGACCACCUUUUUCAUUUGUACUCAUUGUUGGAGCUUUAUCUGAAUCCAUCUCUUUAAAUAUAUAUAUAUAUAUAUAUAUAUAUGGAAAUGGAAUCUCCAUCAUAAUGAAACAUGAUUGGCUGCAAAAAAGAAUCCAGCUCCCAAUUAACCGGUAUUUUCUUAUGGAGCUAGAAAAUUUUAGGUUUAGACAGAAUUUGGUUUCCUUAAAUUUAGACACAAUCUCUUCACCUUCUCGAGCUCUUUUUUUCUUUUUUUUUUCUUUUUCUUAAUGGUUGUAAAAGCUAUGCAGAAAAUCCUGUCCUCCAUAAUUAAUGUAUUCCUUUUGUAUAGUAUAUAUACAAGAACAUUAGAUAAGAAUAAUCCUAUGUCUUACAAAUAACUCUUAUGCUAAGUAAUCAAAAUUUAAAUUACAUAUAUAGUUAUUAUCUACUCGAUUUAUUAACAGAUAACCCUUCAUUCAAAUUUCAAAUGGUCUGUGGCUUUGUCCCUAAUACGGCCCCGCAAGAUAGAGCCACGAUUGGAGAUUCCUAUCUUGGACAAUAACAGCUGAAAUCUUGACUUGGACACUGACUUUGUUAGUAUAUCAGCAAGAUGUUCAUGAGCAGAGAUGUGCUACACUUGAAGUAGAUCCUUUGAAACUUUGUCCCGUACUAAAUGAAGAAAGUCAAUGGAUAGCAUGUGUUUCAUCUUAGAAUGUAGGCAUGGAUUUGCAGAGACAUAGGUUGCACUCAUGUUGUCGCAACAUAUAUAUAUGAGUGGUGGUUUUGACAACUCCACUUGUAAGACAUCUUAUUUAUAGAUUGUAAACCUAUUUAUCUUUUAUUUUUUUAAGAUAAAAAUUAGGUGGUAAGAGAUAAGAAUGAUAUGUGCUUGUAUUUUAAAUUAAAAAGAAAACUAAUUUGUGCAUAAAUUUAAUUGUAUAAUUAUAUUUGAGUUUAUUAAUUAAUUAACAGUGGUGUAGCUAGCAUACACUGUAGGAGAGUAGGGAGGGCUAUUAUCUGCAUUAUAAUAAAUGAUUUAGUGCAUUAACUAUUAAAAGAAUGAAAGACAAAAGAGCGAAUAAAAGCACUAAUAAUUAUUAAGAUGUUCCAAAGGCUAGCUGAGUAUGUUUCUGCAUUGCACAGUGUUGCUGAGUGUAACAUCGAUCGGCAUCAUAUUCAUUGUAUAUAUUUAUAUAUUGAUAGAUAGACAGAUAGAUAGAUACCGGUGAUUAGUAAUAUUCUGACACUGCAUGCAUGCGGAUGCCGAUUUCAUGUUCUCAACGGGAUAAGCCUGCUUCUUAUGUUGUUCAUUAUAUAUAAUAAUCCCCCUGAAAAUGACACAAAAUGGCCACUGUUAAAUCUUCCUCUCAAAUUGUUAAAAUCAAGAAAAAAAAAAAAUAAAGACCUACAUAUUAUAUAAUCUACUACUUUUUUUUAUUAUUAAAGUUAUAUAAUUUUAUCAAUUAAUUUGUAAAUAAACUUACAAUUAUUUGAAAUAAAUUGUGAUUUUUUUUUUUUGCAAUAUUGUAAAAUUUUUUUCAAAAUAUGAUUUUUUUUUUCGCAACUGAAUUUCAGGUUUUAUUGAAAUUUCAGAAAAUUAAAUAAAUAUUUUUUAUUAGAUCAAAAUGAUAUUAAUUAAAUGGAUUUUGUUUAAAACCAUAAGAAUAACUUUUUCAAAAUUUAUCAGAUAUAUAACUUACCAGGUACUCAUAUUCAGUAAGUUAUAAAAUUUAUCAAUUAUGUAUACAAAUGAAAAAUUUUACGUAAUUUUAUUUAAAAAAAAAAAAAAAGAUGUAAAGAAAGAAAAAUGGAUGCAAAUAAAAGCACCCCAUCCAAAAUCCAAAUCAGAUUAGACGGCCAGCAAUGCCCAGUUGGGUUGUUUUUAUUAUGGGCCCACACACCAUGUGGCCCAUUUAUUUUCAUAUCUUUUUUUUUUUUUGGCCAAAAAUUACUUUUUACUAAGUUAUUGUUUUUUGGAGGAUUAAUUAACGGUGGAGCAAAACUAACAAAUUGUUUUUUAAUCAUUAAUGUAAAUAAAUUCAAUAAAAGGAUCGUGUGAAAAAAAGAACUCUUUCUUUAAAUUUAUUGAAAUUAAUAAUUAAAAAAAUAAAAAUAUUUAAUGUAAGUUUGAUCUCCUUCCAUUAUAUAUAUUUUUUAAUUUAUUUAAUAUACUUAGUAGUACUUACCAUGAUCAAAUGUUCCUUACUUUUCAUUACACUAAUUUUAAAUUAUCAAAAAGUUAAUUUACUAAAAUACCAUAGUUUCUCUCCCAAUAAUUUCAUGGCCUCCUAUAUAACUGCGAAUCUAACCACGAUUAAGGGUUUCCCAUUUCCUUCAAAUCAUCUUCAAUUUCCCUCUAUGAGAAGAUAAAAGGUACGAUUUUUAAUCACAUAUGUAUUACAUCCUAAAUUUCACUUUUUCUCUAUUUCCGAAUUAAUUUUUUUUAUUUGAAUUCAAUCUUUGUUGAGCUUUCAUGACAUAUAAGUUCUAUAUACAAAAGUCAAGCUCAAUUGUUCCUUUUGAGUUCCUUCUUUUGUAUUCAAAAUUGAUGACAAUAGAGAAUCCAAUGAUGGGUAUAAUUAAAAUUUAUUCAUUUAAUUGAAUUUUGAUGCCAGAUUAUUGAAGAGAAUAGUUGGGUUGAUUUUUCUUUUACAGAUUUUGGUUGAUUUGGACCUGAUUUUGCGGGAAUGAUAGUUAUUGUUCUUGAUCUUCAUCUGAAUAAAUCUUGAGCGAAACCCAUAUUAAUAGUUAUGGAUUUGGAAAGUGAAUGUUCUGCGCUUGAAUUUGUGGAGGAUAAUGAAGCCAUUCAACACGCUAUAUCUCAUUUUGAUGUCAAAGAUAAUCACGUUGAUGAUUUCAAGAGCAAGGAUAAUGGGUCGUGCGCAAAUGAUAAUCAGACUCAGAGAUUGGCCACUGAUCAUAGUGUCGAUUCCGAUGCUUUGACAGCUAAUAAUCAUCUAAAUGGUGCUGCUCAAAUUGUGCAGCCAAUGCAUGCACCUCAUCUAGCAGCUAAAUCUCCUGUUGGGGCAUCUCCCCCUACCACCAAAGGAUAUGGGUUGAAGAAAUGGAGGCGUAUCAAGAGAGACUUUGUUAAGGAUCCAACCGCCACUGGUGAUAUCAGUAAAAUGUUGAAGCGAGGUUUGUCUGGUUCUGCAAAUCCAACUAAACCUCUACAUAUGGCAUCACCCGAAAUCAAGCAGAAUAGUGUGGCUUCUGUUGGACCAGUGAAUAUGUUGAAGAGCACAAGUGUUGCUCAUGGGCUCAUGAUGCGUAGCCCCAGUUCUGAUUCCAGGUUUGCAGUCGGGGCUGCUUUUGCUUUUGCUACAGAUUCUGAAAAUAGCGAGGAUCGGAGUAGCAAGUCAUCUACAGCAGCCAGUAUGCCAAAGACGAGGUAUGACCUGCCUGCAGUUUUGGGGUACGUACACGAGAAAAACCAGAUGAAGAAUUUAAGUGGGAAGAGUGUGGGUAAUUCAAGUCAAAGAGUUCAGCAGGGAAAGGGUAGUGUUGAAAGCAAUAAGAAGGCCAGAGGAGAAAGGAUCAAAAUUGAGAAGGAAAACUCUCAUUCCAGCAUGGAAUCUGACUCAAGAAGCUCUAACUUUGUCUUUACGCAGGGUUUGUUUUCAGUGACAAGUAACGGAAAGCAAACUGGAAACUCCUUGAAUUAUGAUGGGGAAAAUAGUGAUGAAGCUCGUGAAGGCGAGCAUCAGAUCAGUGAGGAAGUUCAAACUGCUUAUAGGAAAGAAAAUUUAGGUGAAAUUGAAGAGCUUUCACCGGAUGAUUUAGCUGCAGAUUUAUCUUGGGAGGAUAAGGAAGAAAAAGGUGAGAAUCACCAGCCUUCACCAGAUCAAGACGCAUUGAUCCAGUCUAUUCUUGCCCUCCAAUCUGUUCAGGAAGCCCUUGAAAAUGGUGGGUGUGAUAUCCUUCUGAUAUCUUUGAUAAACCUUUCUCAUGGUUUGAUUAUAUGUUCUAACUACUCUUGGGUACUGUAUUAUAUGUCCUGCAAAUCCAGCUUGGUGACCUCUUAAUUUAUUCAUAUUUUAGUUAGCUUAUUUAUUUGACAAUCUCAGAAAUAUUUCUGUAAGUAUUUACUUCAAGCAGUUGAUAACUAUGCCCUCCUUUGUUUGAGGGUUGGGACAAAGAUUAUAAAUAGUUGUUGUUCAUAAAGCCUCGUUGUGGCUAACUUUGAAAAUUUCUAUACCAAUCUCUGUGCAUGUUCCACGUUGAACUGGCUUUUCAGUUAGCCUUAGAUAAGUCUAGAACAAGCAUCUUGAUGGGCAAGUAGGGCUGUAGUCAACAUAGGCUGUAAAAAGCUAAUGCAAAUAGCAGAAGGGAACUUCGGCUUAUAUUUUGUUAAGUUAGGAAUCAUGUACUACUAAUAAUUAACUAUUGAUAGUAAUGGUAAGUAUCUGGUGGAGUAAUGACAUCAUCAGGAGUAAGAUCAACCUAAAAAGGAACGUUUGGCAACAAAUCAUCAUCAGAAAAGCAGUAACUAAAUUCAGUUCAUAGGAGAAUCACACCAAUGUUUUUUGCUGGUGUUUGGUCAAUGUUAACUUAGGGUUGUGAGAAGAGAAGGCACACGGAAAAUGAGUUGUGGGAAGUGAGAGAGGAAUGGUAGUGACAUUUAUUUGGGUGUUCUCUAAUGCAUAAUGGAUAUCUGAUGGUGAAAGUUCAAUCAUAUGGAGGAGUCUAGGACUACAUCAUACAUGUUUUCAUCCUUGGAGAAGUUAAAUGUUGAUCAUCCAUUUUACUUAGUAUUGAUCAUUUCAUGCUAGCAUAAUUGCUGAUUAUGUCCUGCAUUUUUGUUAAGUUUAAUAGAGCAAUUUUUCUUUGCAGAAGUACAGAAAUUAGGGGAGAUAGGAAAGGAACCUCUACAUGAUGAUUCAAUUAACAUUAAUAGUGUUCAUAUGGAUUCUACUUUUGCUGAUGAGGAAAUCCAUGAAACUAGCUCAUCUGGUCAAUUAGAUUCUGAAAAGAUAAGAAAAAGUACUUUAGGUUCCUUGGAAACUCAGGUAUUCACCUUAACACAGAAAGUAAAAUAUUUGGAGAGCAAACUGGAGGAAGCAAGGGCUCUUCUGCAGGCGAAGGAAUCAAGGAUUUUUGAAUUGGAAACCAGUGUAAACAGUAGCAGGUUGCGGAAGGAAGAAUCCAGAAGCACUGCAGAGUUGCAACAAGAUAAAUAUAGAGAAAUGGAAUUUGAUCUUGAAGGCCUCUUUCAACAAAAAAUGGAGGCUGAAAUUGAGUUUCUAGCUCUAACAAGGGCAGUAGAGAAGUUGAGGGUUUCUGCGGGCAAUCAAGUUGCACUAUUUGAAGAACAAACAUCAUUGGCUGGGGAGCAAGCACACAUGUUGAAUAAGCUUGGAGAGGCAGAAAGCAAGGCUGUAAUGCUAAAGAAACAAGCAGAGGAGUUGGAAAAGUAUUGUGGAGACAUCGUAGGUACUGAAGAGGUUUUGAAGAUGCAAAGGAGAGUAUGUAAGGUUACGUCAUGUUUUUGUACACAGUUGGUAUUACUGGUGUUAGUGUUCGUUGUCUUGCAGCUGUCACCACAAUCAGGUGUGGUUGUUCCCACCUGAGUUAAAAGAAAAUAGAACCCCCCUUUUCUUUUUGUGUGUGUGUAUUCUAAUGUUUCUAGGCGAUGAUCCAAAUGUAAGAUUUCGUUGUUAUUAUAAUUAGAGUCUUUUCUUUUCCCUUUCCCUGCUUUUGUUAAUACCGCAACUUGGUUAAAAGUGGAAACCUUUUCAAUCUUGAUUUGAGCUUCUCUCAAUGUUAGUAUUUACCAACAAGGCUGUUUUUCUGUGAAGUAGAAUGCAAUUCUAAACCACACAUUUUAUCACUUUAAUUUGUUGGUUGUUAACUAGAGAAAUUAUGGCCAUGGCGUGCUGCUGGGUAGGCUUUGAGCAAUAAAUGUUGUGCUUGAGAAAGAUUUAUUGCCUUCACCGUGAACCUUCUCAAAACACUAUUAUUUGGAUGGGAAAUAUACCCCGUGUUGAAUAAUGUGACAGUUGAUUUUACAAAAUGAAUCGAAAUUUCUCAAAUUCAUCUUUUUAGGUACUCUUUCAUGUCAAAUGAAAUGAUAAAAGGUCUUUCUUAAAACAACACUAACACCAAUUGCCAAACGUCAUUGAUUAAAACCAACUUUUUUUCUUGCCGACAUAAUGCCUAAAAAAGGUGGUUAUACAAGUAUAAGCUCAUCCAACAUCUCCAUCUGCCAUCCUUUAAUUAAAGGGUGUGCAACGUAGUUGCAGAUUUUCUACCAGACUACAAUUUACUAACUUCACUCUGAUCUUAUAUAGCACAAGAAUAAUGUUCUAGGCUUCUAGAUUCUUAUUUAUUAAUAUAUAUAUAUAUAUAUAUAUAUAUAUAUAACCACAAGUUACAAAGCUCUCCCAUCUGAUCACCAAAAGUUUCAGCAAUGGGGCAGUCAAGCAAAUUGAAGAAACGGGAAAAGUUGAGCAAAAAUAACAACAGACGGAGGGUUGACACCCUGUUAUUCAGUUCCUAACAACCAACUCAUUGGAGGCUAUAGAGUUGUUGAAUCAUGGUAAGAUCGGUAUUCCAACAUUUCAGUUCAACAUCUCUCCUUGUCCUUCGUCCCUCUCUCCUGAUAAACCUGCAUCACAGUCAAGAACAGUCAUUUUUAAGAAAUCUCCAAUAGUCAAAUGAAACAUAGCAGGAUUUAACUGCAGAGACAAAAUAAAAAUAUUUAUACACAUUCUGGAUAAUUGGAGACAAAUGAUAUAACAGUCUACUUCCAUACCACUUUCUCAGUCUCUGUCAGAUUGCUCCGUAGGUGCCCAAUCUUCUCGCUGAUGACUUUCUCUUUCCCAUGCUACAUAGGUUUUAGCCGAACAUAAUGCUCAGCAAAGAAAAAAUUAUAACCACUCCUGUUUGACUUUGGCCUGGAGAGGUCCCAUAAAGCUAAUCGGGAUCUCUUCCGGCGCCAGUGACAAGGAAUAUCUGAAGUAUUUGAACUCUGAGACAAUUGAAGCAUUUGGGGGAUAUGAUACAGUACACCCUUAAAUUGAUCAGAGCCCAACCUAACUGUAAUCAGAUAGCCAUUAUCAAAUUUUCCAUCAAUGCUCCCCGUCACAGAACUACCAAUCUGCAACUCUGGAGUUCCUGCUUGUAUAAGAAUGGUAAGAGCCCUCAUUUAACAAGACAGCUACAUUCACACACUUGCAAAGAUGCAUAUGAAAUAGACAUCUAGGCUUGCCAAAUUUGGUAUAAAUAAUAACUAAAAUUACCCUCUAAAUCCUUUCAAAGCAACCUGAUAUAAUUUUCAAAUGACUUGCCAAAUAUCACAAUUUGUUUUUCUUUCUUGACCGCAAAUGAUCAUUUCAAGGCUAAACAAACAUUCUAGAAGCUCAAGCACUCAGCAACUGACAAUCAAGGUUUUUGUGAAAUCAAUAAUUUUGCUUUUAAGUCCUUUAAGGAAAUUCAAAUUGCAGGUCCCACAAACUAUUUCAGAACAACUAUAUAGGUAUCAGGGAACAUCACUUGUUGAAGAUUUAGAUUCAUAGAAAAGCAACAAUGGCAUGGAUUUUUCAUAAUUUAAGUAUAUCGCUAUUUUUUUUCUUCAGAAAAGAUUGCAUCGAUAGUCAAUAUAUUAGGCUAUUAAAAUAUGAUACAUUUGUUAAAGACAUUGCUAUGCAGGUCUAAUAAGCCUAGUGAUAUCAAGUCAUGCAUGCCUGAUUAGAGAAACCGAUAUCAUUUCUGUGAAUAUUGGAAUGAAAAGCUCCUUCAUAUUAAGGCAAACAAGUGUACGUAAACCACAUAUAAUUGUGAAAUACAACUGGAAGUUAACAUAGCCCACACAGUAAUUGGAGCCCUCAUAUCAAUAGGUAGUUACACAUACCCAGAGCUGUUAAUUGGUUUGUAGAGGCAUCUCCUCUGGUGUCUGCAUAUCCAUUCACAAGGCUCCCACUGGCAGUGUGUGCUAAAAGUACACAAAUUUACAAGCUAUGGAUAUUUCUUCAAAAGACAAAGAUGCUUCUAUCAGAAAGAAAAAAAUGAAUUUAGUUUUCAAAUACCAGGGGUUGAGACCAAAGAGACUUGCUUGCGGAAGUAAUAGACUUGCUCAAAGUGAUAAAGCAAUGAUAAGUAAUAUUUCUUUAAAACAAAUGAAGCAUUUUUAAUGGUUGUUGGAAAUCUGAAGACCACAAUCACUUCCUUCCAUCUGCGAUCUUGUAUUACCUGUAAACCAUUUCAAGGAAAUUAAACAUCCCUUUGGAGGGGUUGUAACAAGCUAACAUAUUGGACCAACUCAAUUUGUCCAUCACUUAUGGCCAUAGAAAUCUUCAGAGAGAAAAAGUUCCAGUCAUGCUAGCAUGCAACCUAAGAUUAUGAUCUCCUGCAAAGAGAGCUGUAGAAGCUAGAGGGAAUUCCAGGUCAUAUCAAGAGAAAGCCAUAUAGGUGUUCCUUUACUUAAACCAAUGACGAAGAGGUCAUCAACAUUGUUACUAACACUAGAUAAUGCAUUAGAUCAAAAAGCUUUAUAUCGCAGGCAGUAUCCUAAUUGCAAGUAUAAUACCUUUUCAAGACCUCCACGUGAUGUGACCUCCACAAAGAGUUGAUGCAGAUCUAGAGCCUUUCCUCCAACAACCAGAACCCUAUCCAACCAAAGCAUCAGGCGAACAUAUAUCCUAAGCAGUGCUUUUCUUUUCCUUAUUCUCUGUUUUGUUAUUUCCCCACCCCCACUUUCUCUUUCUCCAAUAGGUCACCUUUUUAAUACAAAUUUAGAUAGGUAAUAAGUCAAGAGGCACAUUCUUUAAAAGCCUUAAUAAAGAUGCAAAAGGAACCACAUCCUCUCCCCUAAAGAGGUGUGUGCACAAUGUGUGCAUGGUUGUUCAUGCAAACGGGACAGACUAUGAGGGUUGCAGGUUAGUAAAGGUUAUAAAUCCCAUAUCGAGGAAGAGGAUAGAUAUAUCAAGCAAGUAGCAUCAUCCACUGUAGGCAGAUAAAUGAUGCCAUAGUUAAGUGUUUGGAUCUAGAGUAACUGAGAUCGAUAACAUUUGGAAUAAACAAGCAGGAUUUACUGUCCCCGCUUUAAAGAGCAAAUUUUUAAUUGUUCUGUUAAUUUUCUUUUCAAUAAACAAAUUUUCAUGCUUUAAAUGUUGCAAUUACCAGCUACACAGAAAACAACGUUAGUGCUAUAUUCAUCCAAAACUUGACCAAUAGAACAUAGACAAGUCCCCACAUUGAAGCUAAGAAAAUGCAUACCAACAAAUGAACAGGGUCUGAUAAAAAGCAAAAACGUUAAAGGGGCGAAAUUGCAACAAUGAAACUUGAAAUUAAACUGUUAAAGUGGAAGACACUUUUUUGGUACACAAAGAGAUGAGAAAAACUUUUUCAGAAAUGCUAGUCCUGCAGACAGAUGAUGCAAUAAUGAAAGUUGGGAAAUUUUAUGUUUUGUGUUCCAUCCUGUAACAAUCUCGAGAGCAAGGGAGGCCCCCCAAAGUAGAGGAAAUCAAAAUUUUGAAUACAUCAUGCGGCAAAAAGGAAUGAACAUGAAAUUACAGCCAUUUCAAACAUAAAGGAUCAGGAUCUGACAACUCCUACUCUUGCAGAAGCAUAAGGAUUGCAAAGCAGGAAAAAAAAAACGACCCAGAUACAUGCACCCAUGUUAAAGACGAAGUUGGAAAUUGCAAGGAAAGAGAGUUACUUGAAUUUUUUGCCGAUUGAUUUGUUAAAAGCUUUGAGCUUUUCCCACAAAAGGUCAGAACUUUGAGCGACAUCCUUGUACUUGGCAGAUGGUGAGGGAUAGCGAGGUGUGUUGUUGUACUUCCCAUUUGUACUCUCACUCUGCUGCUGUUGUUGCUGAAACAUUUUUAGACUCAACUCAACAACAAAGGUAAAACAGUUUGGAUGUUGGAUUUUGGUUUGAUUAAGAUUUUAAAUUACCAACUAUUACCGGUAGAUAUAGAUUUUUUUUUUCUGUUUCCUGCCCUAUAUUAUUCAUAUAAUAUAAAAGCACUAAAAAAUUAUUAAUCUCUUAAUUUUAAUAAUUAAAAUUCAAUCUGUGUUAUUUUUAGUAAAAAAAUAAUAAUAAUCUUAAUCUUGGUAUUUGAAAAUUCCCCACCACGUAAAUUUUCUAUGAACUUGGCUUGGCUGCAUUGAAUGCCCCUCUAAACAAAAUAUCCAACGGUGGCAAUGCUGCAAUGCUUGUGAUAAAAGAAUUUCCCUCACUUUUUCAUUCUUCUUACUCACUCAACAAAUAGAAAAAAAAAUCCACUUUUCUCCGCUUUCAGUUUUGUAUCCACAUGCCUUAUUUUGAAGAAGGAAAAAUAAAUCCAAGAAUAGUGAUGAAUAUACAUAGGAAAGUAAAAUAUUAAAAGUAUUUUUGCCAUUAUAAUAAUAAAUGUUUAAUUUUCAAAUAAAAAUAUAUAUAUUUCUGGUUCUUCUAUCAUUGUUACCUUGUCUGUGAUUGUCUGGACCCAUUAAAAAUCCAGUUAGAAUACAUAGGAGCAAUAGCAUACGAGGGGGAUUUUGCCAGAGUAUAUAAAAGUCUAACCCCUUCAAUGGAUCAUAAUUGAUUGUUGCUUUAUUAAUGCCUGCUGCUGCCUGCUUGAUUUAGUUUUAAUAUACUAAUAGAUAGUUAGCAGUGGCUGUUAAUCCGAUGCUGGAAUGAAGAACCAGAAAGACUACUAAAUUAAUUAACAUAUGCAUUUUUGCCAACCAAAGUAAUUAACAUAUGCAUCCAAGAAAACCCAGAAAUUAGCAGGAGUAAAGCAAAACAAGAGAUCCAACCUCCCCCAACCUCAACUAAUAGACAAAACUAUACAUUGGUUCUAAUCAAAUAUAGCAUAACUUAUAAGAAGAAGUGGUUCAGCCAAAGAACUUGGGAUCAUAGCCAUUGCUGGAUGUUGCCAAGAUGUAGUAAGCAACAAUAUGGCCAAUGGACCCCAAGCAAGAACAUCGACGAUGUUGAAUCCCACAGGAUCGUUGGACUUGAGAAGGCUAACAUACUCCUUGGCUCGUGUGUCCCCAGCCUCAAAGUGUGUCAACCCGUUUUGCUCAGGCACUUGCUUGGCAACGUUCUCUCUUUGGAAGUUGAAGAACACAAACCUACCCAAGAAUAGGGAAAGACCCGUGCUUAGGCUUAUCACAAUUGGGGCGCUGAGCUCUGCUUUGACAGCAAGCCUAGCAGAUGAGUUUCUGGCGAUGCGGGUGACCCUGGAUGAGGAUUUGGCCUUGCUGAGGGGUCUGAUGCCUUGGAAUGAGAUGCUGGAGGGGCUGAGAUGGUUGCUGGCAUGGUUCUUUUGGAUGGUGGAGAAGAUGGGGGUGAACAAAGUUGAGGAGGCUGCCAUGGUGCCUGCAGAGUGCGGAUUGAAAGAAGUCUUGGAUAGUGAAAAAAAUAUAGAUUUUGUAGGAGAUGAUGAUUAAGGGAAGUGGCGUAUAAAAGAUCAUAUAGUAAAAACAAGUGGCAGUAGGAAGAAGGAGAGGGGGAUUGUGAGGAUGGAAAUGGUGGGAGAAAGAUUUUGGAUGUCGACUUGGCUUUGUUUCAUUGGUUUCUUUUGGAUAGAGAUUUUUGGGUCCAAAUGAGAAAAGCUGAAAAGUCGUUGGACUGUUUGAGAAAUUUAGCUUGGGGAAUAUUUAGUUAUUUACAGUUACAGACAAGGGGUGGCCAAAUCAGAGGGUUAGGUGUUCGAUUCACGGCCGAAAUUGAAACUGUUUUUAACACCACAAUUUUAGUAAACGAAUUGUCAAGCACCCUGGCCUGCAUCUCCUCGCUUUAUUACAACUUGGUUGAUUUACUAAAUCCAGCCCAUCUAAUCGUGCCUUUUUUUUUUUUCUUUUAUCAGAAGUCCAGCUUGGCUCUAAUCAAACUUUGGUUGGUUUACAAUUAGCUAAGUUCUUAUAGAGUGUGAACGUUUUUGUUCAGCUCAUUUAGAAAUGCCUUAAAUAUGGCUGAGCUUAGUUUGAUUAUAUACAAAGUUAAAAACUCAUUUCGGCCAAAUACCACGAAAAUGCAAACUCAAAUUAUCCUGCACAACAGGAUCAUAGUCAUUUGAAUGGCAGAUUCAUUAAAGAAAAUAAAAAGAACCCCCCCGCCUUCAUUCUUCUUGUUCACAUGAACAGCUCUGUCUAGCCUUCUGUACAUCCCCCUACCAUUAACAUCUUACGAUGAUUGACCCCCACAAGUGGCAAUGAACUAAAAUCUAAUUGAACAUAAAUAACCUAAAAUUACGAAAUACAGUUUACAUUUACACCUACAACCCUCUUCUACAGCUUGGAAUGUUACAAAUUUCCUCAAAUACCAUCAACCACACCAACAUUUUUAUUUUGCGUACUGCACAAUCAACUCACAUUAGGGAAUCAAGGUAUGAGUAGUUCCUCCGACGGCCAUACUCAAGAAGGCUACCAUAUGUACGAUCCCAUACACCAAUAAAGAGAGACUCUGUGUCCGGACUAAAGGAUAGGCCAGAUAUCUCACCAAAGAAAUCGAUUUCUUGCUCAUUCUCAUACCCACUUUUCACAUCAUACACAUGCACAAAGUCAGCAGGCUCAGCCAUUGCCAUGUAAUUACCAUCAGAUGUAUAGCGUAUAGACCGUAUUGCUCCAAGAUUUCCCUUGAGAACAGAAAUUGACCUGGACAAGUUCCGAACGUCCCAAAUCCGGCAAGUUUUGUCUUGGUUCCCGGUGGCAAAAGUGACACCGUCAGGAUGCCAUGCUGAUGCAAAUGAGAAGUCCAAGUGUCCACGCAAAGGCAUAACAGUCUACAAUGCAAUUUCAAGUCAGCCGAUGCCACAUCCUAGACUUUGCAAUCUCCAAAAAUGUAAAUAGUUAAAAAGCAAGCAGACAACUACCUUCCCCGUGUCAGAGUCCACCAACAUAACAUCAGGGUUGUCUCCAACUAUUAUUAGAAGUUUCCCAUCAGGGCUCAAAGAAGUAUGCUGCAAAAGCAACACGUAAGAAGAGCUUAUAGUAUUUCACCUCAUCGUCUCUACAGUGUCGAUAGAACCAAUAAUUACUAUGCUGCAAAUUAAAUUUUAUAUGGAAUAAUAUUAAGUGUAUGUUUACCAAUCUAAAACAAACGGAAUCCCAAUACAAGAAACUUACAUUGACCGGCCAAAGAAAAUGAAAAUGCUUAGAAAGUUGAUAUUUCUCCAUAUCAAAAUCUCUGACUCCACAAUCAUUAUUUGAGGCAGUAAAGUGAGCUGCACCACUGGUAAUUCAAAAACAAAGCAAAAUUAGGUUCAGUUGAAUGUAAGUAUGUGACCGAUGCCACCAGGAGCUCAGGGAACAAGAAAUACCUUGGAGUGACAUAAAUCUCGACAGCGUUUGUAAUGGCAUUGUCAUCAUAAGUUGUCCUAGAGCAGAAGCUUAUUCCAGGUCGAUCUAAAUGCUACAUUCCAAAUCAAAAUCAACUAAUUAAUUCUAAAGAUAACUGGCAACAGGAUAACACUAACCAAGAGCUCAGCAAAAAAAAAAAAAAAAACUCCUCUUCAAAUAUAAACUUUUAGCAUUUUUGCCGUUCUAAAAUUUCUAAGUAAUAAAUAGUUCAAACCAAGAUAAAAUUGAUAAACUUUGAAACAGAAUGAGCAAGAAAACAAAGUUCAUAAAUUCUAAUGAGCUUAAUAGAAUCAUUUAGCCAGAUCCUUCUCAUAACAUGAAAGAUAUGUCUAACAAUGGAUUGAACUAGAAUAGUUAAGAUAUGAACAAUUGACCUCAAGUGACUAGCAAAAACUGAGAAAGAGCUAUAUUGUAUGGAAAAGCAACUCUGCAACUGCCGCACAAAGGCUCAUUCAUUCUCUGAUCUUUUUUUUUUAUUGUCAAUAAAGGAUUUAGGGGGAAACAAGAUACAUUACUCACCUUGCAUAUCAGUUCACCCUGGAAUCCUCCAGCAACUAGCAGCUUAUCUUUUACUGCAAGGGUACUGACUUGAGUUUGUGUAAAACCUUCCAUCAGACUUCCAGGAUGUUUCUAAGAGGGAAAAACACGUUGAUCAAUCUCAGAGGAAAUGAGAUGGGGGAAAAGAAGAGAAAGGAAAAGAAAGAAAAGGGGAAAAACCAACAAUUCAGAGAAAAAGCAAAUCAAUGCCAGAAAACAGACCUCAGAUGGUGCCACAUGACCAGACACAUUAAGAAUUUCACGCUUCCCAUGUAUCAAUGAAGACCAAUGCAUGACAGAAAAAUGUGACAAAAGGUAAACAUCAUGUUUUGAUGUAGCCCAUACCAAGUUCCUUAACUGCACCACCACAAAUGGAUAUGCUUAUCAGUCAAAAUGAUCACAUCACAGUCAAAUAUACCAAAAGAAAAGGACAGGCCAGUAACAUUACAAGAUAUGAGAAAGAAAUUUUAAAAAUAUAAACAUAAAUCUUAAAAAAAAAAAAAAAUCCUUCUAUGACGUCACAAAAUAUGAAUGGGGUAAAUAUAGCUGAUAUAAAUUAAAUGAAAACUUCCAUUCAGCUAACCUGAAAAUGAAGUAUUGUUGAUUUCACAGAUCUUGAAUUUAGUCUGAAGUCAUAAUAUGAGGCACCCUUCUUGGUAACUUUGCAAUCCUAUAUACAAAUUGAAAUAUCAACUUAGUUCAAUUACAACCAAAACAUUAGAUCCAAGAAUUGUUAUAAAAGGCAUGCAGGCAACUUAUAAGGACUUUUACCUUCCCUGACCCUUCUCCAGACAGAGGGAUAUUCUCGUAGUUCUUGUACUGUUCUAGCCUUGUUUGCCUAUAUUUUUCCCUAGUGAUGCUAAGGCGAUCCCAAGGAAUUCCCUGGAUGUCUUUUCCUCUUCUAGCUUGAGCAGCAGAAGUAUCAGAUAUCUUAUUAUUCUGCAAUACGGUCAAAUUACAAUAGGCUGGCUUGAAAUCCAUGAAUACUACAACAAAAACUUUGAAAUAUUUAGAAAUAGUAAAGCCAUAUUUGCCUAAUCUAAUGAUGCGUGAACUUAGUUGCUCAAGAAGUGCCUAUGUGAAUCUUGUAAAACAUAAAACAAACCAAGUCGUCAUAUUCAUCAACAUCAGAGUCUGAGCCAGACAUAUCUCUGCCACAAAACUCUUCAUCCAUGUCAUCAUCCAUGUCUUCUAAGUCAUACUCAUCCAUGUAUUCAGCAUCAUCUUCUCGGUAAUGGGACAUAUUCCACCAGACAAAACAACACCUACACCAAAAUAAAUUCAAGCAUUGAUAAUAAAUUAAUAGUCACUCAACAAUAAUAACCAAACCAAUAAAGAAAAAGCCACACAACAUUGAAUCAGAAGAUUGUAUUAUCUUAGAUUUUUAAAUAGUAAACUUUGUGCUAAGUACACUGAUGAAGUGAUGAUUAUAAUUGAUAAGAUGGUGCAUAUUUAAAAUCAUCAAGAACAGUAACAUGACAUGUACUGCCACUAAAACUCAUGCAAGUUACAAUUUAUACAAUGUAGUGUUUAAGACAUUAAAAUGAUAUUCACAAUAAUUAUAAUUAAAUCAUCUAAUGGUAUUAUCUAAGGAUAUUGAACAUGAUAAUCUAACACUAACAGAGAAUAGAAACCACAACCAAGUCAGAAUUAAAGAGAAAAUCAAAUCUAUCACCAAACAUGGGACCCUCGUCAAAGGAAUGGAAAAGGAAAUGGAAACAAAUAUCUAAAAUAACAUGCUCAGACAAUCAUAAAUCCAUCAUAUAGGUACAGUUUUAUGCCGAUUUUCAAUGUGUAUGAAAGACUUACAUCAGCAUGGAAAUUAUCUAAUUAAAGAUUGAUAGCCUAUGAGUCAAUCCCAUCAUAGGUUAUUUAUGGGAAACAUAUGCUAUAAUAUAUUCUGAAGUAAUUUUUGCAAUAUUUUCAAUUCAAUUUUGCUAUAAUCACGUUAGGAUAGAGAUAAAAUUCACUUCUUAAUUCAAGCAUGCAACGCCCCAAAAACAAGACUAACAAAACUUUUCCAAGGUGCCUAAAUUUGGAAACUUUACCACCUAUAAAGGUGAGUUUUUUCUAUCUCACAUUCCUCUCUGCAGGCCUAUUCAUCAUUGUAGAUUUUGGGGUCCAAGAAAGAAGUCAAGUCCCAUGAAAUUCAAUACAUUUCAUUUUUGAUUUUCUAAAUUUAAAUAGCACUCAUAAAAACACGACAACAUGGCCCAAAUAAGAAAUGACCUGAUUAAUAUAAACCCUAAUGGAAAUUGAAACGAAAAAUUAAACUCCCAAAUGAGAACAAUCAUGCAACAACAAUUUGAUUCACUUGCAAAUAAUAACUGUUAUCAAGAAAUAAAACAAUAAUUAUUUAAAAAAAAAAAGGGCAAACCCUAAAAGUGUUUUAAAAAAAAAAAAGAAUUAAUUUGUAUAUGCACCUAUGCAUCGAUUAACAGAAACGAUGAAGAUGAUCGAAGAUUAUGAACAUAAAAAAAAAUGAAUCAUGAACGAGUAAAAGAGGAACCUUUAGAAAUAUAAGAGAUUAUGGGAAGCUGGUGUUGUCCUCCGAUCUGGUUUGGAGAUGAAAAUACGAGCAUCAGAAUAAAUUGCAUGUUUUUAAGAAAUAUAUAUUAUAUAUAGAAAAUGAUUAUUUAUAAAAGGUGAGGGUUUUUUUUUUUUUUUUUUUUUGAUGAAUAGAAGGUGGAUUUUAUAUACUCAAAAAAUUCGUUGAGGGAAAAAUAAUUUUGCUGGUAAUAGUAAAUAGUAAUAGUAUAGUACAUUAGUAUACUUUUAUUAUUUGCUAUGUAUAUGUAUAUAUUUAAAGGGUGAAGGAAGAGAUUAGAAAUUAUAAUUUGAUGAUUCUAUUAUAUAGAAUAAUUUUAGGUAGAUAUGAAUUAGUAAUAUGUACGAUACGACCUCGUUUAACCAUAAAUGAACUUGAACCCGGGAUUGACUUAAUGGCCCAAUAAGCUUAUUGCCAUCAUGGUCCUACACUCGUCCCCCUACAUUCUAUUGUGGCUUUGAUUAUAUCCAAUUCCCAUUUGAAUUAGUUUUCAAUAUUUCUUCUAAGAUUUCAAUAUCUCCGAGGAAAACUUCAUUUCUUUAGUUUUAUCAGAAGGAAAAAAGAAAAAAAAAAAAAGAAAAUUUACAUAAUUAUUCUUUAAUCAGAUAGGCAUGAAGAAACAAAAUAGUCUCGAUCGUCAGUGGUAGUUGUAGUACACUUUGUUUUUAGAAACGACAAACAUGGAUCAGACAGAGACACUGACAACAGUGCUUAUAUACACGUUAACAACGUAACAUUAUCAGGUGCAAGAUCAAACCCCGUUCCACGACGCACUCUAUCUAUGAAAUGAGUGUCAUUUCCAUCUCAGUCCACGUCAUCGUCAACCCACCCUUGCCUUUACCUUAUCUCCAUCCAUCUAUCCAUCUCACCUCAUUUCACAAUCCCACAUAAUAAAAUCCUCCUCUUUGUCCGCGCAUCAGCAAUGGCCACGCUGCUGAGGAAGGUCUGAGAAUCAGUCUCCUAUCGUUCCUGUUCCACCGCCGACUCUGCCACCCAUCCACCCUCACUCACUCAUUUAACUUCUUCACCUAUUACAACGACGUUAUCAUAUUCAUCGCUGGGAUCCCUCUAUGAAGAAGAGAAGAUUACAAUGGUAUUUGGGUCACACCUGAUUAUGUAAAGUUUAGUUGUAGUGAGAAAUAGUUGAACUUUACCAUGGUAGAAAUAGUUGAACUUUACCAUGGUUAAGUCAGAUUUUCACCUCUCUUCUGUAUUGAUCACUCCAGAUACUGAAUCUGCCAAACAUCAAGAAGGCAGCUUAAAGAUGCCAUCCACACUGUCUUAUUUGACAUGAAUGUUCCUGCUAUUUGUGCUGUCAAUCAGGUAGAUCAUUGUAUUUAUAGAUAUUGUCUAGUAAUUACUGUUCUUAAAAGAAACAACCAAAAGAGAAAGAGCAACAAAGCAAAAAAAAAAAACACAAGGAACUUGAUUGUUAAAUGAAGCUGCACAAAUCCCUUUUAUUUGCUGGUAAUAGUCGUCCAAACCACAUCCAGAAAUAAAACCAAUUACUUGAUUGAAAACCAUAAAUCACGAGUGAAGGACAUCAUAAUUAAAUGAACUUAUAUACCAAUUUUUUUUAUGCACAUUCAGCCCAUGUGCCAAAUCAUCCAUAUUCAAUAACACGUUCAAAAUUAACUAGUAGCAACAAUAUUAAGUAAUAAAAUCAAAACUUGUUUAGUCUCAAAACGACCUGCAAAGCUCAAUAACCUCAGUAUCUCCUACCAGCACCACCCAGGUGACCAAAAACUGGGGGAGCAAUCAUAGUUUGUGGUUCAACUUCAAGAAGACCAGGAAUAUCAGCCAUGCCAAGAGCAGAAAGCAUGUCAAGAGUCUCCUUGUCAACCUUAAUUUCGUCGGUCUUAAUAGCUGACUCAUCAGGAACAAAGUCCAUGCGACGCUCGCGCUCUUCUUCUUGAAGCUUAAGUGAGAUGCCACGAACUGGACCCUUCUGAAUGCGCUUCAUCAAGUGGGUUGAGAAGCCAGCAAUCUUGUUACGAAGGCGCUUCGUAGGAAUGAGAGUAACCUCUGCAACAAUCUUCUUGUUGGUGUGGAAGUCCAAGGUCAUGCGAGAGUAGUACUUCUCAAUGACCUGACGCGAAGACUUCUUCACUGUCUUGGUGCGAACACGACCCAUCUCAGAUAAUUUAGCUGUUCCUGCAAAGGGAAGAGGAAGAAGAAAUGAAUCUAGAAACUAGAAUGAUUCUUGGUUUCACCUCAGAAGUAGGGGAAACGCAAAAACCUCUAGUUGUAGGGAAGAAGAAAAUUCAAUCAGCAAAAACAAGUUUGCGAAAUGAAAAAUCAGAGUCUAUUGAAGCAUUGUAGAAGACAAGGAUAAAUGAAGGCUUGUGUAGAGACCUAAGAACCAAGCAGAUAGGUUGUUAAAAGACCAUCAAAGUGUUUCCACAUCUUUCACAACUUCAAAAAGUAAAUUUGGUCCAUUCUGUGAUGUAUAAUGCCCAGAUAAACCUACUGGUUCAUUUUGGACAUGACAAAGUGACAACAGCAUAUAAAAAGAACUUUUUUUACAUUUUCUGAGUAACCAAUCAAACAAUGAAGAGAAGAACGUACCUUGGUAAAGAAUCAGGACGCCUGAGAAAGAGGCUGCACCUAAGACUCAAAAGAAGAAACAAAACCCAGCGCCAACAGCUUGGAAUAUAAACCUCCGGACGGGUAAGGGCCUUAAUCUUAUUUUAGGGUUUUUAACCUUUCAGUAAUUUUUUAUGGGCCCAUGAUCUCUAUGUACGUAUACAGUUGAAUCCGUCUAUCUUUUUUCUUUUUAUACAAGUAAGCUUUUGUUUUGCUAAAAUUGCAAUCAAGUCCUUGAAUUGGAGCAAAACAAGUGAUUGGAGGCUUCUUGAAUUGGAGCAAAAUUUUCAUCCAAUGUCCAAUCCAUUUGUAUGAAAGAAAAUUCAUUUUUGUCUUCCUGCCUUUUUCAUCUCAACUACAGCUAGUAUCUAGAUCUAAUAGUUGAACUUUUCAUGGGAAUGUGAUAAAUUAUACAUGUAUGAAAAUAUUAUAUAGUGGAUCAAUAAACUUUAAAUCACUUCUGAUUCUAAACUCUUAAAAAAAAAAAAAAACUCUUUUAUGUUCAACUAUUUUAACUUAUAGCAGAUUUACGUAGGGUCUUUUUGUUAUUUUGCAAGAAUUUAUACGUACACUGUAGAAAGGAGCAAAUUGAUGGAGAAAAAAAAUUAAUUAGUAAUGGUAUGUAUUAAGCACAAAUCAUGUCCAACAAAUAGCGGGUAAGUUGAAAUGAAAUUGGCAAAUAAUAGUUUUGUUGUUCCAACUUUGACAUGCAAAUAGUAGAGACGACACACAAAUCUAAUUUUCUCCUUCAGGAUCGGGAGAGAUGAAGUUGUAUGUUAGGCAAGGAGGUUUUCAGGAUAUAGAAUCUAUGUAGUAGUAGUAGUGGCAGUUCACAACUUCACAUCACCAACUAAUACACACGUCAAAGCUCGGUACGUGUGCUAAGAAGAUACCACACCCCCAUUAGCAUUGCAAACCCAUUCUCACACAGCACUAUUCUCCCAACUAUUACCAGUAGCAUUCCAAUCUCUACCACAUUUCUUCAAGUACAAAGAAAAGCAUGGCUGACGAACCUCAUGUAUCAAAAUACUGUACUCUUCACAAGGUUAAAAGUGGGAAUAUAAUAUAUAAAUCAACAAUUGGAAUAAAUGGAAUUCACUUCCAGGCUUUCACAACAACAAGGAUAAAAACAUUAGGAACCCGGCCGUGGCCAUUAGCAGCAUCGAUGGAUUACAUAUUAGCUGACUACCACUAGCAUUCUCUGAUGUUGAUGGAGGUAAUGCAGGGCAUGCAAGCCCUUCUUUCCCUUCAUGGCACUCACUAGCAAAAAGACCCGGAGGAUAUUUCCCAUAAAGAUUAAUGUAGCUGAACAUAGUUGAAGCACAAUCGGUUGUCAAGUCAUUGAUCUGUUCCACAUAAGGACAAGCAAAUUCCUUGAACGCAGAACAACAACUUUCAGGUGGAUACUUGGGUCCUUUGCAUUGGCUUGUGAUAAUUGUGUAGUUCAGAAACUCAAAGUUAACUGGGCAAGCUGCAGAUAAAGAAACAAAAUAGUAUGUCAAGUUUAAUAUCCUUUCAUAGUUAAACAACAGAGCCCACAAAAAACCUUUGCUUUCCAUCUAACAUCUACAAAGCUCCAAGAGAUCUUUCGAUGGAAUCAACUUUUUCUAACGUUGCUGUUUGACAAUAUUUGAAUUAUGUGGUGCACAGGGCUUAAGGCGAUGAAAUAAACUUCUGGAAUCUUCAAUAAGCCGAGCAAAAACGCAAAAAUUAACAUAGCUAUGCAGUUAACAAAUGGGUAUCGAAUUAUGUGACGGAUAGUAUUAAGGGAAGGAAACAUGUACAAGAUCAUCUAAUUCUAGCAAAGGUCUGAUUAUUUAACAUUUGCCACAAAUGAUUUGCAAAUCUUGAGUCUCAUCUAGCUCUUGGAAAAUAAAUGAUAGGACUAAAUAUGCACAAGUUUAGGGUGUCGUUUAGUAAAGAACAACAUUAUUACGCACUCGGAAAAUUUCCCUUACAAGAACAGGAGACAUCGUGAAAGAAAAAUAAAAUAGCACCCAACAUCAAUUGAAUGAUAACACUGAAUAUGGUUAACUUACAGAAGAACAUACCGUUUGACUGUUUUCGAGCUUGGAAAACAGAAAACAAGCAGGCAAUAAAUGGGUUGAUGAAUGAUAUUUAGCUCUGCUAGUUGCUCCAAUAAUAAGAUGUUUUUAAAAUGUAAGAUGAACCAAGAAAACAGUUUGAUAGCAUCUUUGUCGUUACAACGUAGAGCAUCUAUGUUGAUGAUAAACACCUUAAUCAGCAAAUUUCAUAUUUUCAGUUUGAUGGAAAUCGUUUAUUGUUUUGGUAAAAUGUCAAUGAAAGUUUCGUAAUGUUUAUGGUUUUAAUUAAAACAGAAUGGCAAAAGCAAGAAAACAAUUUCUCCACCAGAGCUUCCGGAAAAUUAAGACAAGAUAAAAAGUCCCCGUCAGUCCCUUCCUCCCCCUGAUGAAGAUAUUAGCAUAAGCAGAAUUUCAUCAUCUGAGAUUACGGCUAAAUCAUUUGUGUGGCACAUCAACCAAACUCAUUUAUCUCCAUUAAAAUGGUGCAAUAUUAAAAAGGGAGAAGAUCUCAAAUGGACUAACACCAAGAAAAGAAAAUCUCAAAGCAUCAGAUCUGGUAGCAAAUGAUUUAUCUGAUUCUAAACCCUAUCACCGAACCUUUCUUUUUCGAAAAUUAAAAAAAAUAAAUAAAUGGAGAUAGAAGGUAAAAAAGAACCUUUCUUGGUCUGAAGGAGGUUCCUUCCUGUGGAAAUGAAAGAGUCGAAGACACCAUCUGCAUUCAGAUCAUCAAUUAUUAGAAGGUGAAUGAUGGAUUCAGAAGCUGGAGACCCUGUAAAAUCUUUUGAUAAAUACCUGAAAUUGAAGUGGAAGCAGAGACACCCAACAAAAGGAAGAAAAGUGCAAACCAAAAGAACAACUUUUCUCUCCCCAUCAAGUACUUCUGUUUUUUUGGUUUUUGCUGUGGGCUAAUAAAAGGAAAGCAAGCAGAUCUGCCUCCUUUCUGGGGCAGAGCAAUAUAGAAUGGACUAUUAGAAAAUCAAGGCUUCUUUAUGCUUUGCAGCUUCUGUUUCUCUUCUGGGUAUUCAAGCAACAGAAAAGCCAAAGCUUCAAGCUUUGAAAUUUGGAAUUGAAUAAUAUAUAAAAUAAAGAAAGACAAAGAAGAAAAGAGAAAAGAAGGCGGUGUGUUGGUUUGCUUAUGAUUCAAAAUGGGUUACAGCUAAAAACGCGAAAACUGGGCUCCUACUCCAACUGUGACUGUCCAAACAUAAGUUUUUGAUGAUUUUAAGACUGUCUGACCACUGUUUUGUUUUACCAGCUACUAGCUGAUAACUGAUGAGAUCAACUUUUUCAACGAAAGUUAUGGAGCAAGAUAGUAUAUUAGAAAACGAAGCGGCAGCAAAAGAGGAAAAGGGAAUUUUCCUUUCUUUUUAGUUUUUAAUUUGUUCAAUCUAUACCUUCUCAAUUUUCGUCCAAAAAAUAUCUAACUCAUGUGUAAAACUAUAAACUAUUUUAUACACAGAUGCCUGCAGUUGUCAUUGCCUUCAGAAGUCUAACUAAACAACAACAAUAGUUGGCCAAAAUAAUCAAUAGCCUGGCAGUAAAAUGAGUUGAAUUUUAAACCUGAAAAUUUUCGAGGCAUUUUUACAUUUUUUUUCUCUAAAAUCUUACAUGGAGAGUUAAAAAUAGAGAUAUAGUAGAACUCACAGGGAGAUAGGAUUGGUAGCUCAAUUAGCUUUCAAUGAAUUUUGAUUAGACUCAAUUUUAUAGGAUUGAUUUUUACUUUUAAAUUUAAAUUUUUAUUGAAUAAUAUUAAAAAAAAAUUAAAGUCAAGUUAAGUUUAAAGUGUAAGUAAAUUCAAUCUGAUCCGAUUUAAUAUUAUAUAAAAAUUAUUUUUUAAUUUUUUAUUUAUAUAUAUAUUUAUAUAAUUAUAUUUAAAAAAUAAUAUUUUAUUAAUUUUAAAUCAAAUUGAAUUGGGUAUAAUUUAUACAAUAUCAAAUCGAAUCGAAUUUAAAUAUAAUAAAAAAAUAAAAAAAUUUAGAUUCAAAUUUUAUAAAUAUAAAAUCGAAUCGAAUUUGAGAAGAAUAAAAAUCAUCUCGACCCAACUUAUUGUCGACCCUAUACAAAGGCGAGCAUAAUUUAUUUGCGCCAACCUUUACAUUAAUAUGUAUAUGAUUGGAUUGCAUUUAUAUCAGUUUUGGCAUAAUAACUCCAGGACCUUAACCUUCUACCAUAUGGUGAGGUUGCUAUUAUUAAUUACUAACCUAAAUGCUUGGUCAGCUUUCCAGACAGAACCAGCCAUGCAAAACGAAAAACCAAGGAAUAUCGACCCACCAUUCUUUUUUUCUUUUUUUAAUUUCAUUUAAUUUGAACAUCUAAAGGAUUAUUAAUUUUUUGAUUUAAAAUUAUUGAAGAUUGAAAAUUCAGUAUUCCACUUCUAGAUCACAUAGACAUCGGCAAUGAUUAUCAAACUCAUUCACUAUUUUACAACUAUAUCAAUCAUUAUCAUCAAAGAAUGAAUGAAAUUACCCUUUCCUUUCCAUAAGCUUAUCAUAACAAACAGAUAUUCUCAAGAUCUUUUGGCCGUUUUGGUACGGCGGUUAUACUUAGACGCGUGAACAAAAUAAAGUCAGCUCAACUCUCUUUGUUAUUGGCCUGCAUGCAUUCUCCCAAUAUAUAUACUCCCUUGAUUUGAAAGUGUUGUCUUUGAUUUUUUCUACUAGUAUGAAAAAGCUAGCACGGUGGCAAGAAGACUCGAAAGAAAAACAAUGGUCAAGAGAUGGCCUCCGCCAACCGCAAAAAGGCUAUAUAUGGCCACAACUCCCUAAAGAUAACAUUAUCAGGGAAGACUCGGGUCGGCUGUCCUGAUCAAGAAUCUUUAUUUUCCACUUUCUCCUCAUGAAAUCAUCAAUGCUCGCAUAAUCUUAAGCAGCAACUGGGCAAAUGGUUUCGGCCAGGGCCAAAGGGUUCUAACUAAGAACCCCCUGAAAACUGCUUAGGUUCUGCGAUGGGUUGGCUAAUAUCCAGUCUUAUCAGAUCAAUGUUUGGAUCGCUUCUGGGGCUCUAGGUGGAUGCUUUAUGAACCCAUAAUUGCCUGCAAACGGAUAAAAUCCUCUCAGCUCCAUCAGGUGACCUAGACUCUAUAUAUACCUAUAUAUAGCACUUGAAGGAAAUCCAAGUUUAGCUCUAACUAGCUCCAUCAGGUGAAAAAGACAGAUGAAAGGCGCACGGUUGUUGAUCGCAACCCACAAAUGAAACUUAAUAUAUCAGGAAGUUGUGCCUCUAACUAGCAAGGACCUCUUGCACUAGUAGAUAAAUUAGAUGCAUAUUGACUCUAAUCCAGCAGUCAUAAGGCGUGAGCAAAGCCAUUCCCUCCGACGUUAUAGAUUGUAUUGCCUGUAUAUUGAGGGGAAUCUUGGACAUUUUCCUUUUAUCUAAAGCAUCUAUAGAUAUAGUGGAUGAUGUUUUCAGGUCUUGGAUGUCACUCUCCGUCUCAGAUAGUGAAGUGGGUCAUGAGAAAAGGAAAAUGUAUGUGUUUUAAGUGCCCUUAUUUGACCUUGUGUCAUGGUGGCUUCCAUGGAACUCCAGUUAGGAUUCAAAAUUUCAUUCACUAUGCUCAGUGUUUACAUUAAGUAGGACAUAGCUAUUAUAUUCAUUCGAACAUAAUGAGAUAAAAACAAAAACAUUACUCAUUGUAAGACUAUAUUUCACUUUUUUUUUUCUCCACACUGUUUCAAAGAUAGGUUUUGGAAAAAUCCUUAUAGUUCAACUGUAACUUCAGUCAUGUGGGAGGUGUUAAAAGGAGACGAAGAAGGCAAAAAAAAAGAGUCCAUCCCCCAUGCUUCGUCCACGAGCCACGAACAAAGAUGGGCUCAGAUGACGUUCUUUGUCUGCAUCGACAUCCUAUAGCUCCACUUUGUCUGCAAGCUCAAUCUCCAAACAUUCAACAGAAUAAUCUUCGUUGCUGCAACAAGUAUGCCAACAAUCGUCACUCCUCGCGUGAAGAAAACAAUGACUUGAAAAGAAUUGAUAUACACCAACAUGACAAAUCGGCAUUUGAAACUCUAAAGCAUGGCUAGAGGCUAGAGCUAAUAUUUCAUAAGCCUGUAACAAUUUUCUUUUCCAUAAACAGAUUAGCUGAUGGUUGCCUUUCUCAAAUAGAAAGUUAGGCUUUGAAUUCCUUUUCAUUUGGUGUGAAAUCAUCAAGCAAUGGCUUCACUUAUUACUUACCCCCCCCCCCCCCCCUUCUUCUGCUGCCCUUAUCACAUUGACAGAGUACUAAAACACAUGAAACCUCCUAAACACCAGAAUAGGAUCAUGUUCAAGAUUGCAACACUGUGGAAUAUACUAUUUUAUAGAGAAUGGAACUUACACGACAUUUAGAUGCACGUAUAUUUUCCAGCAACGCUGCAAUCUCAAGUUGCUUCAUUACUGUAGGAUGCAGAACCUGUAACAUGAAACUUUUGUCAAUGAUUGUGAUCAUUUAAAUCAGUCUUCAAACCUCUAAUUUAUGUAAAGCAAUUUCCAUGAGCCAUACUCGCUUAGUUUUGUCAAGGUCAAACUUGACAGAUUUGAUUCGGUCCAGAGAUUCCAUAAGCAUUUUCUCCUUUUCUGCGGGAAUUCCAGCAGGUUUGUUGCUAAGUUCCUCAAAUGCUUUCUCUAGUUUCUGAAGACGCUCUAAACAUGGAAGGACAUGGUUUUCUUCAUUAACAGCUUCUGGUGCUGUUGAAUUUGAAUGGCUCUUCGUGUUGGAUUCCAUCAAUCAUAUUCGAAGGAUGAAUAUUGUUUGGCCUUCUCCAAAAUUCAAAUUGAACAGUGCGAAUAAAGGCAACCAGUCUAACCAAUAAACCUAUUAGCAUUUUUUCCACAGAAUAAAUAUUCCUUCUCCCCACCUUUUCCUUGACAGUGUCUAACCAACGGAUGACUGAAAUUCCUCAAAUUUGAUUCAAUUUGGAAAACAAGUCCAAAGAAUAGGGAAUUAUAACAAAAAAUCCAUCAAGUACAGGGUAAAUUAUCCACAUCGUAUGUGAAACCAGAUAGUAAACAAGAAACACAGUCCAUGCACCAUCAAACAAACGAUAUAGCAAAGGUAAAUUUAAAGUAUCCUCCUCUAAGAAGAGAAACUGAUUACUGUGAUAAAAUAGCAUUUUCAAAUACCUUCCGAAUAAUAAGAAGAUGUUCUUUGAUGAGAUUGGCAAUCCACAUAACUACAAUUAGGCAACUGAUCUGGGGAAUAUAGCAGUCCUAGGUCACUUUCUAUAGUUUUCUCAACCAGAGGGAAACUAUCAUCACAACUAUAGUAAGCAUUUGGAUCUGACACCCCCACCUGCAUAAAUCACAAUCAUUUUUAUUAAAAAGGCACAGAAACACACAUUAGUUACCACAUAAAACAGAAUUCUCUGCUUUUGCAACUCACUUCCUCAUGAACUGGUGCCAGACAAGGAAAUACAGAGCUUCUUUUUCCAAUUGGAGAACACUGGUCAUCAAUAUCUGAUCCAGACUCUGCUGUUGACGUUUCACUAGCCCUUCCCUGACAAACAUAGUAUGUGUUAAAACACGUGCAGAGAAGAUAUAAUCACAGAACAGUAAUGUCCUCAAUGAUCAUGAGACUAAAUACUUGCCUUUAGUGGCCGUGUUUUAACAUGGGAGUCAUAUUUAUGCUGGUCAUUAGAUACUCUGGUGAUCUGCCUCACAAAUGUUGCUUCUGCAUUAUGUGCAAGCUAUCAAUGGAACCAUAUGUUAAUCUACGGACAAAAGUUGAGUGAAACCUAAAAUCAUGUCUAACAAACAUUCCAUGCUUGAGAGGAAGAAACAGCAUAUUACAUAAACAGAACUAAGUUCAUUAAAGGGAUGGUUACCUUCAUUAUCUUCAGGAUCAUUCCAUGGACCUUUAUUGGAUCUAAGACACCCUCCCUCCACAGAGCAAGUGCAUGACCCUCCUAAGAAAUCAGGCAACUGACUAAAAGAGGUGAAGGAAAAGCAAGGACUUAGGAGGGAUCAUAGGUUGAAUUCUCUUGUAGGUAAGAAUGUACAAAUAAUUAACAGACCUAGAGUCAAUGAUUUCGAGUAGCCUACCGAGAGAUUUGGUCUCCAAACCUGCAAAUUAUAAAAAAAAAAACUGAACUAGGGAGCAGGAGAAGGGGAAUGGAAAGAAGAAAGCCUAAAGCCAUAUCCUUUACAUUUAUCUUUCCAAUUGUCCUUGCAUCAAGAAAUUUCUGAGCAACCGGCCAAAGCAUCUUUUUGAAUCCAGGACCAGCAUUGACUAUGUACAUUCCGUGUAACGUCUGUAAAGCCAUACAAAAAAGAAUUACAUAACAAAUAGAAACAGAAAGUAAAAACAUGAUUCGAUUGGAUCAGAUACCUAGGGGUAAUAACCGUUGUCUAAUUUAGUCAUGGCAGCCAAAAGAUUUGCAGCAGUCCUGCUAAAAUUCUUCAUGCCCUACGUUCAAAAUCAACAUUUAAUUACCGAUUAUAAUUCUACCAUUAGGCUGCUGUAAAUGAAACAAAAAAAGGGGCAUCAAUAGAGGAAGAAAAUUUUUCAAUUUCCCAUAGUAAAUAUGACUGGCCCUAUUGCACACUCCAUUAGUGCCUCUGCUUAAGUCAUUAAUGAAAUGGGGCCAUAGCAAAUGUAAAGUUAAAAUGCAGCUUUUGUAUUCAGUUCUAGUGCUAGACCUUAUAUCUAAAAGAAAACUUUCGAGUAGAUUGACAAUGCAGAAUUUUUCUAAAAGCUACAAGGCUAGCAAAGUUCUGCCAUAAUGCUAUCUAUAAUGUUGUCAAAUCUUCUAUUUGUUAAAGGAUGUCAAAGAUAAGAGCUAAAUACCAAUCCUUGUACAUCCAAUAUAGUAGUUGUUGAGCAGAUUUGUUGCUUUGCCGCAAUUGAACAAGCAGGGAAUUUCUCCAAAAGAGCUCUCUCAAACUCUUGGACAUGGUACUUCAAAUAUUGAUCUAUGGUGGUGAUACGCAGAAGCCUACUUGGAUGGGCUUUUCCUAGCCGCUCAAUAUAAACAGGUCUCCCUUCCUUGUCAACUCCAUGGUACGCUUGGGGAUAGUAUUGCAAUACUUCUUCCAGCUCUUCAAACUCGAAAUCCUAAGUAUUGAUUGACGACAAAAGGUUUAAACUUCUAUGAUAAAAACACAAAAUCUAAGGCGCCAGAAAACUCUUUGGCCCCGUCAAAUAUGAUGCAAGACAUUCAUUUGUGGUUUUAUUUGUUAAGUCUUCUCCAGUAAAGCAUUCCAAAUUUAAUAAACAUUAUAGACUGGAUUCUAGAAAGAACAAAGUUUACAUUUCUCACCUCCAAAAUGGUGUCUGUUCCGAACUCUCUCCUCCAUUUAAGCAUUUCUUCCCACAUCUGGAUUGUUUUUCCAAUGUUAAACUCUCUAGCUUUCAAGAACCUACACGUUAAAAGUAGUAGUACUUCUUAGCAUACUUGAGUUGAUCAGGUAUAAUGUGAAACAUUCAACAAACAGAACUGUGGAAUUUGGCAGCUUAAGCUUAAUAAAGGCUUACACCCUUGUGUCUGAAAAGCACCAACCGACCUCAACAAAGUAUGAUAAUCGUCAUGCUUACGAGGCAACAAAUCCUUAUGAACAAGUUUUUGACGCAAUUCAUGAGCCGCAGUCUCCUCUUUUGCAUCCCUGACAUCCUCAAUGGAUACAGCAGGAAACCGGUAAUCUAUUUUCGUCUUCCCUCUUUUCUUAAGAGAAUGAGUAAACUUGUUGGAUGCAUUUAUGGCCUUCUUUUUCAGAUUUCCAAUUUUGGAUCUCCUUCUCUCAUACUCAGAGUUGUCAAAAUCAAACCUUCUGUCUCUGCUUUCAUCAUUUGCUCCAAUUUCAACCACCCGUUCCCAAUAUUGACAAAACCAAAAUAAAUUAUAAAUUAAACAGGACAGAAAUGCAUUCUUGAACUAGCAAACAUAUAGUAGUAGUAGUAGUAGUAGUGUUAACUAAUAUACCUGACAUUUCAGCGCAAUUUAAAAGGAAAAGCUUUGUUCUUUGAAGCUAGUAGUAUUGUUCAAUGGAAUGAAAAAAAAAAAAAAAAACCCAUCAUGCUCUGCUUCUGCACACUGUGAAAAAGAAAUAGAAAACAGAAAAUAGAAACUAAUGAAUUGAAAUGAAUCAUUUGGCAUUAAGAAGCAAUAACUAUAAAGCAGCAGAAUUUAUGGAAAAAAAGUAAAAUGUAGAGUUGAAAUAUGACAAAGAAAUAUGAGGGGAUGAUCAGAUCUGGACAAAAAUGAACAAGCUUUGCUCUCAGUUAUCAAUGAAAGCUUAAGGACUUGCGGACUAAUUUUCUUCAUGUCUCCUUACUCAAAAUGUUUUAUUUAUUAAUUAUUAAAAUGAAAUAAUUACUCUGGAAAUUGGGGAUUAAUGGUAGUAUUAGUUCAACUAGCUUAUGUCAGCACGCCAAUACUUUUAUUUAUUUAUUUAUUUUUAUAUACAAAUCUACAAUUAUAUAUUUGAAUAUUUACCAAAAAAUAAUUAAAUAAUUGUUAUCCUAAGUGGCGGCUAAUAUGGAAUGGGGGUGACGGUGACUUACUGACUUUUAAGGAGUAAAGUCGUUUUCUCACUCAGAUUCUAGUAAUACUAGUAUUAUUUAUUUAUUUAUUUAAGCAUAUAAAUAUUUAACUUUGCUUAUAUUUUACUUAUAAUCGGAGUAACACUACUGAAAUUAAAAUAUGGUCCGAAAUUCCAUAUUUGAUUAAAUCAAUUAAAGAAUUUUUUUUAUAAGAAAAAAUUUAAAGAUAGAUAAAUUAAUUAAUUUUUUAAAUUAAAAUAAAAUAUAUUAUAUUUGAUAAUUUAAAAUAUAUGAUUAUAAAUUAUGCAUUCAAAAUGAUUUCAAUAAAUAUUUACAUACAAAAUUUAAAUUUAAAAUUUUUUUAUCAAAAAAAAUAAAUUUAAUUUAAUCGAUUGAAUUAAUUAUUUAUUAAAAAUUAAAGAUCAUAAUUUUUUGUUGCCUUGACUCUAAAUUAAGGUAAUUUUUAAUUUUAUAUUUAUAUAUAUAUAUAGAUGAUUAUGAUUUAGUUACGAUAGAUGAUGAUGGAUGAUACGACUAGACGAAGUGAAGAAGCGAGGAAGAGAGUAGUCAAGGAGUGAAUGUUAAAUGUAUUAGUACUUAAAUUUUAAUUUUUUUUAUAAGCUUUUAUUAAUAAAUAUUUUAUCAAUUUAAAAAAUUUAUAAAUAAAAAUUUAAUAAAUUCAAAAUUUUCAAUUAAAUUAAUGAUUUAUUUUGACUUUUAUGAAUUGAUUUUCUUACUCUUAAAUUAUUUUUGAUAAAAAAUAGUACAUAUUAGCUUAGGUCAGCAUGAUCUCUCUUUCUUUGGCAAAAUUACAAUGGUGGCAGUGGCUUGGGCUCUACCCUUGCACGAGGCCAGAGAGUAAGAUCUCCAGAAUCCAUCUCUAUCUCAUGACUUGGCUUUUUCUGCUUGUGGUUGCGCAUCCAUGACUCCACCUGUCAGCCAUCCCCUGACUAAGUCUAAACUACACAUCACUGUUUUUCAAUCCUAGGACCAGGUCUUGGAAACAUCAUUCAAUGCUACUAGUUAGUAUCCUUUUCCAUAGAAACGGAACUGUUAAAUCUUAAAUACUACUACUGCUACAAUUUAGACAGUUCUACUUUAUCAUCAGCAGUAGCAGCACCCAGCAGCCCUGCAAAAUCACAAAUGCAAAACACAUGAAAAAUCCUCGCUAGAAACGCCAACCCCACCUGUACCAUGCACCUGAAUCCACCAUCAUCACAUUCAAUUUCUGAUCAAACAUUUUUACUACAAAUAUUUAUAUAAACCACAAAAAUGAAUCCAUGAAAAUCCAUCAUUCUAGCUAUUUUUUAUCUUUAUUUGGAAUAAAUGUGACUGUUGAUGAAGUAGUUCUUACUAGUACUCCUAAGUUAACCAACGAGUUUGAAACAGGUCCAUCCAAGACACAUUAAUAAAGCAUGUUUUCGCGUAUCUAUGAGGAUGGUCCCAUGCUAUCCACCACUCUUAAAAAAAAAAAGUACUGGUUGGUAAUUGUGACUUUUAAGUCAAAUUCUUUCAUUAUCUAAUUAUUGUUAUUCAACUUUGAUUUUGACUAACAUCCAGUAAAAAAGUUAGCUUAAAGAGGAAGGUUUAAUGUGGUCAAUGAUUUUGGACCAUUCUUAUUGCAUCAACACAUGCACAAUAUUGUUCAAGCCAAGCUCCACAAAUCAAUCAGGUUGUUUGAAAAAUUAACCAAAGGAAGCUAAAGCUCAACUUUCGUUAUGAUUGCAUUUGAGUGGUCACAAACUCCGCAAGCAUGCCACUACAUUUUCUACCCCAAUUCGUGCAAUAUAUAUUAAACAUUAAAAUAACAUUAAAAUUAUCACAUGUAGAAUUGAGACAUAACACGAUCAUAUUAUUUUUAAAAAAAUCUCAAAAUAAUACGAAGACUUUAUUUCUUAAACAUUUUAAAAUUCUUCAAUAAAAUAAUCUAUCCAAUAAAAUUCAUAUUUUUAAUCUAGCUGAUAAUACAUCUUUAUAUAUCCAAAUACAAAUCAUAUAAAACACAAAACUGCCUCUUAAAAUCUCAUUGACCAACAUAUUCUCCGAUGAUUAAGUAAUCUUACCCAUUUCAUCUUCUAGUUUCAUAUAAAACUAAUCAAACUUAUCACUUAAUCAUCUGUAAAGAAAAAGUAAAAGGAAAAUGAGCAAACCACAGUUCAGUAAGUAUAGGCUCACACACCUUACCAGAUCAAGUAUCGUUUUCUUAUACAUCAUAUAAAUCAUUCAAAACAUUCAUCAAAUCAUAAUAUCAAAAUAUUUCAAGAUCAUCGUUUUGUCAAAUAUUUCAUAAAUUCAUAAAUCAAUAUCAAAAUAUGUCACUUUAUAAAUUAUUGUAAAAUAUGCUAUUAUUCAAAUAUCAUAAUCAAACCAAAUCAUGGAUUAAUCAUUAAAAAUCAUCAUAAGUCAUCAUAAUCAUAAAUCAUCAUUAUCAAUCGUUUAUCGUUAGCUACGGUCAUUGCUAUAACCCGUGACAUUGGUCAUAUCGAUAAUUUCAUCCUUAUGAUCAUUGCUAACUAUUAUAACCCGUUAGCCAAGGCCUUACGCUAACUACUAUUACCCGUUAGCAGGAUCGUAUAAUCAUGUCUUUGCUAACUACUAUUAUCUGUUAAUCAGGGUCGUAGAACUAGUUCUGGUGUCGAUGAUCCUACUUCCUAGAGAUAUAAAAAAACGUAACCCUCACAAAUCAUUCUUUAAUCAUAAAUCAUUUUCUCAUUUCAUUCAUAAGCAUGAUCCAUCAUUUAUAUAGAAAAACACAAAAUAAUCAUAUGCUUGAUCCUAUUUUCAUACAUCGAAAAUAAAGAAAUAAAACAUUCUUUCAUUUAGAAACACACAUAUAUAUAUAUUCAUAGAUUCAAAAAUAAGCAAAGUGUGUGAGAUUCUACUUACCUCCAUUCGAUUUCACCACUUAGUUUUUCUCCUAAAAUAAUUAAUGGCCUAUCCAAGAUCAUUUCAACAGAUCAGAAUUUAAUCAACCCUUUUUUAGACCAUUUAUACAAAAAUCAACUAAGUUACACAAGGGUUAAUUUAACUAAUUAAUACUGGCAGCUUGACCUAUUUUCAUUAAAAUAGUCAUAUCUCAAUAUAUCCAAAUCAAAAUUAUGAUCUCUUUAAUGCGUUAAAAACUAGACUUGAUAAACUUUCUAACCAUAUAUGGCACACCUUGUAAUUCCUUGUAGAUUAGUUAUAACAAUUUUUGAAAUCCAUGUCAUAUACUAUUGUCAAACAGACUGUAUACCUUUUAAUAAAAAUUAUAUAUUUAUUCACAGGAAACUCCAAAUCCAAUUCCGCUUAUUUCAUUGGAAAGUAGACUCAAUAAGCUUUCCAAACAUAUAUGGCUUAAUAUGUAAAUCCUUGUAUACAAAUUAAAAAGAAUUUCGUAAUUCAACCCUGAUGUUGUUAUCUUACAACCUGCAUAUCCUUAAGUUAAAAUUAGACAACUCUUCAUAGAAAACUCGGAUUUAACUUUCGUUUAUUUCAUUAGAAACUAUAUUCAACAUGCUUUCCAAUGAUAUAUAAUAAUCACAGCAAUAAUCUAUCCAUUAAUACAAAAUUCUAUUUUAAUUCAUUAUUACAGAUCAUAAUAUCUCAUCUAAAAAUAGAAUUUAUCCUUCAAUAUCUAAAAAUUCAAAUCCUUAUUUUCAGCCUUCAAACUCCAUUCAAUAAUCAUCAAUAAAUUUUAAAAACAUGAAAUAAAUAAAGCCUAGUAAUUUACUCAAAUAGAUCAUGAAGAUUAAUGAAAGAUUUUAUGAUUUUUCUUGGUUUUACUCUCAAAACUUCAACUCCAAAUAAUAGCAAUCAACUUGAUAUUUCUUUUUAAAUAAAAAGAAGGUAUGUACUCAUCUUUAAGGGAUUAACUUGAUUGUAGCCUCUGAUUAUGAAUCUCUAACUUGAUUUUUCAUAUUCUCUGACCCUAAGAAAGAUGAUGAAGAAGAACUCUAUUUUUUUUUUAUUUCACGAUAGUUAAGUUUUUUUUAUUUAAUAUUUCAGUCUUUUUUUUUAUUAAAUAAUAUCUUAAUAAACUGAUGGACUUUAAUAUUAAUCUAACCCAAUUAUUAUUUAGACUAAAGUAUUACAGAAAUGUAUGCUUUUUCUUAAUGACACUUUUAUUUUAGUUUUUCAAGUUAAUUACAAUAAAAAGUGAGCAUGUAAUUUGUAACUUAGAUUCUUUUAGUAUUAUCUAGUAAGUUAACCCAUCCUAAGUUUAGUUUGUCUAGCUAGGUAGGUUAAUGAAUUUGAAUAGCUAAGUAGAAAUGAUCAAAUAAAGAGGAAAUUAAUCCAAGUAACUAGAAAGAGACAGAGAGAGUGAUAUUUUGGCAGGUAGAGUCCAAAGUUGGAAUUAUGCUUUUGGGCUGAGGCAGAGAUAGGGUGAAUUGAUUCUGAUCUGAUGUCUCGAGGUGCAAACAAGAAACAAAAAAAAAAAAAAAAAAAACCCAAGGGCUGGCUGGUUGUGGAGGGAGCAUCGAUAGUCGACAGGGAAGUCACUCUCAAGAAGACAAAGACCUGACGCCCCAAACUUCCAUUGCCAAAACCAAGAAAGUUGUACAGUUAAUAGUCCCUGUCAGUCAAGCCAUCAAUACCUGCAUGCCUUCUCUGCUAUCAUGUUUACAAACUGAAAACUAACUACUGAAAAGAAUGAAUAUUGAAUGAAGAAGAGUAGUAUUGUCUUCUCCAUCUUCUCUUUUAGCAUGUAUAAGUUAACUUUUUGGUCUGGCUGCAAUUAAGGGAAAGGACUGUAUUUUAUCUGUAUGUAUGUCAACAUGUUGUCUUAAGGAGUAAUGUUGGCGAUGGCUGAAGACAUUCCGAUCGAGAAAGCGACAAAUGCAAAGAUCCUUCUAUCUCUCUCUUUUCUCUCAUUGGAUUAAAAAGCCUUUUUUUUUUUCACUCACACACUGACACACUCUCUAUGUACAAGUACAUAGGGAGACUUUUUUCAUCCACUUACUAUGUGGAGUAAUAAAUUGUUGCAAAAUAAUUGAAUUGGAAAUCCGUAAAUGAAAGUGAUUCUUUUGUCUGUGACUAUCGAUCUGUUUCCGUGCCUGGUAGCUGUAACUGUAAACAAAGGUCUUCAUUCUCACAUACCUUAAUUUUCAAUAAAAGAUAACUAAUAAAAAAAAUUCAUAGCUUUGAUUAUUCUUGAUUAUUCCAGGAGGCAAAAUCAAUUGAGAACAACUCUCAAACUAAAGAAAUUAAGGUCGUAAUGGGUGUGACAAUUGUGUUAUAGUCCAAGAAAUGUUGCAUUCUUUUAUGAGGAAGAAAGGGAAAAUGGGGCAAAUGGCCAUCAAGUUGGAUCUUGAGAAGGCUUAUGACCGUUUGUAAUGGAGCUUUAUGAGGAAAGUCCUAACUUUCUUUAAUAUUCCCCAACCUCUUAUAACUCUUAUUAUGAGCUGUAUUUCCUCCUCAACUAUUUCGAUUAUGUUGAAUGGAGGUUUGCUCAAAAAACUGGCGCCUUCUAGAGUUUUAAGACAAGGGAGCCGUUUAUCCCCCCACUUGUAUAUAAUGUGCAUGGAAUUUUUGGGCUUUCACAUUCUUGAAUCAUGUGAUGAGAAGAAAUGGAUGGCUAGUAAAACUUCCAGAAAUGGUCCAACUCUCUCGCACAUUUUAUUUGCGGAUGAUGUCAUAUUAUUUGGUAGGGCGGAUAGUAAGACUCCAGGGGCUAUGAGAGAGGUGCUGACAAAUUUUUGCACGGAAUCGAGGCAAAGCAUUAACCUUGAAAAAUCGUGGGUCUACUUUUCACCAAACACUAACCAGGAUCAAAGGCAUAUCAUUGGCACUGUAUUGGGAAUCAAAGAAACAAAUAAUCCUGGGAAGUAUUUGGGAUUUCCUCUAAAUAAGAGCAGAGUUACCAAAUGGGAUUACUCUUUCAUAGUGGAAAAGAUCCGAAGGAAGUUAGCUGGGUGGAAAGUGAACCUCCUCUCAACUGCAGGACGGCUGACCUUGAUUAAAUCGGUUACCGAAUCCAUUCCCACGUAUUUUAUGCAAUGUCGAAAGCUCCCAGCUAGCAUUUGCAAUGAGUUGGAUCGUACCAACAAAAACUUUCUUUGGGGUGACAUGGAACAAAGGAAAAGAGUACACCUCUUAAUUUGGAGUGUAGUUACUUUAAGCAAACAUGAGGGUGGUUUAGGGUUGAAAGAGGCUAGGGUUUAGAGCCAAGCACAACUAACAAAACUUGCUUGGAGAUUCAUGCAUCAAAGCGAAUCUCUAUGGGUUCAAACGUUGAAAGCAAAAUACUUAAACCAGAGAAGCCAAGGGAUAGAUCCAGCUACAGCAUCAGUGACUUUGGAAAGCUAUGAAAUGGUCUGGGCCUAUUGUAGAAAAAGGGCUUGGUUGGAUCGUAUGAGAUGGGACCUUUACGAGGUUUUGGCAUGAUAAUUGGACCGGGAUUGGUAGCAUUAGGUCCAUGAUCCAAGGACCAUUAAACAAGCAUGAUAGCAAUGUGGACGUUAGACAAGUUCUGACUAGUCUACAGUGCCAACAUGACGCCACCAUCUCGUUCAUCCUCCCUCAAAUGGUUAUGGAGACCAUUAGAGCAAUGCCAAUGCAACUUUGUGGUCAGGAGACUGAUUUCUCCUGUAGGACAGCCUCUGAUACAGACUCGUUCACCCUUAAAUCUGCUUACAAACUUGUGAAAGGAGACUCAAAAAAACCAACUAAUGUCAAAUGGGCAUGGUUUUGGAAACUCAAAUUCCUUCCGAAACUCAAAAUUUUCAUUUGGGAAUGUAUGUACGAAAUUUUGCCUACUAAAACGUUCUUAAGGAAAAGAGGCUUGAAUAUACAAGAAGAAUGUGUGUGGUGCAACUGUGAACCAGAGGAUAUCCAGCACCUCUUCAAGGACUGUCAAAUGUGUCAAAAGUUAAUGGGUGAAUUAACAAGAUGUCUUAAAUCUCCAUUCUCCCCAAAUCAGUUUUAAGGAGUGGAUCAAAAGAAAUGUUAAUUGCAAGAACAGAUCAAGCCUUCAUGGUAUCCCAUGGGGCCUGAUGUUCAUGCACAUUUUGUGGGAGAUCUUGCUUGAAAGGAACCAUCGUGUCUUUAAGGGUCAGAGAGUUGAGGAUAACAUCGUUCGAAGAGCGAACGAAAGAGUGGCCGAAUACUUUGCCAUGAACCAAAAACCUAUAAGAGCAAACAUGUCUUCUUUUAUUCCUAUUCGUUGGAAUCCACCUGAUGCAGGCUGGUACAAACUCAAUACAGAUGGUUCAUCGAUGGGAAACCCAGGCAAAGCUGGAGCUGGAGCUGUCAUCCGUAACCAUGAAGGAAAAUGGGUCGUUGGGUCAUCUAGAUUUAUUGGAGUUGCCACGAACAUUCUUGCUGAGCUGUGGGCUCUAAGGGAUGGACUGUUGUUGGCUCAACAUCUCAAUAUUAAGAAACUUGAUAUUGACCUGGAUGCUUCUGUUAUCAUUUCUAUGAUUAAAAGUCAAUCUCCUCCUAAUCCACUUCUACUGCCAUUGAUCUCUGAUUGCCAGAAUCUUAUAGAUGCCUUUAACCAACAGCGGAUGAAACAUGUUUUCAGGGAAGGCAAUAGAUGUGAUGAUGCUCUCGCGUGUUUUGGAAGUAGAACCUUAUGUAAUAGUAUGAUGUGUAAUGAGGUCUGUUAUAUUAAGUUUCAAGAACCUCCCUCUUUUGUUCAUUCACUGCUGCAGGAGGAUGUAGCUGACUUUGUCGUGUUUCGUAUUAUUUAUUAAGUUAUGAUAGUUCCGUCUUCACACCCAAAAAAAAAAAAAAAAAAAGAAAUUAAGGAAUUAGACAAAAUUGAUGUUUGUGUGAUACUUACGAUAGUGCAAUAUAGGUUCAAUUUGUGCGAAUUAAACAACAUUAAAUUAAUUUUUUUGUACCGACACCGCAUCCAACCCACGGUCUUUUUUAGAUGACAAGAUAAUAUACCUCAAGUCAAAAUUACUUGGUUAUUAUUUUAAGUGAAGAAGUUAAUUACUUCUAUAUAUGAUUCCAUGCAUAUGCAUGCCUCCCCUUAUUUUCUCUCUCAUAAAGCUGUUGGUUGCAUCCAUCGUGCAUGUGGCUGUUAGCAUUAUACUAGCUGGUCUAGUUGAGAAAUUAAAUUAGAAUAGAAUUGAAGAUGCAGAUGGAGAAGGAGAAAUUCAUAUCAGGGAAUGAAAAUGAAUCCCCGCCCCGGUGGUGCCGCCUUGGAGAAGGAAACGGGCUACAGAAAUGGCAACACAUAAUGAUAUUACACAAUUCAAGCAAAAUGAGGAGAUACAUGCAAACACCAUGAGAGGUGUUGGAGGUGUCAGUCAUACCAAUUGCUGAGGGCUGAGGACUGAGCACUGAGGACUGAGGGUCGCCCGUUCGGCCAUUUCUUAAUGCUGGGUGGUUUUUUUUUUUUUUUUUCUUUUAUGCCUACAAGGUAAAAUUUAUAGCAUAGAACUUUAACCCUCACUUACUCCUUCCUCCUUAUAGUCCGUCAUUUUCAGUCUCCGCUCCUUCAACUUCAAUUCAACUCGAGUUUUUCACUAUUACGACCAAAUUUUUGCAACUGGUCACACCAAUUAAGUUAAUAAAUUUAUUCAAAAAAAAAAAAAACAAAAACAAAAACAAAACAAAAGAAAGAUAUCUGCAGAUCACUCACUUAGGUUACAGGCCGAACAAAACCCAAUCCAGCCCUACCAUUGGGCCUUAAUUGGAAAAUCAAUCCCAAUUCUUAAGCCUGCCUCGGAACGCUCAGGAGUAAGAAGUAAUGUAACUUUGAUCCAGGCUGGGGGAUGGGGGUGGGGGUAACAAAAUUUCUAUGUCCAUGAUCCAUCCCAAAAGAUUCAAACCGCGCCAGCUUAAGCCAAUGCUUGGUGUUAACAGACAGUUCUUGACGAAGACCUUAUUUACCCCUCUGCUUCAGCACUUUUAACUGGUUGUGCUUGUGCCCUUCCGAUUUCUAUCAAUUCUCCCUGAUUAUCAACAUAGUAAAGUUUCUUUCACUUUUGCUUAUGUUACUUAACCCAUUAACCCAAAAAAAAAAAAAAAAUACACCUCGUCCAUAAAUUAUGCCAUCCCACAACCAAUUACUGUUUGAGAACUUAAGAGGGUUUAGGAUCACGAAAAAUCUAACCCUUCAGGUUUAGGCCAUAAAUUCAAUUGCAAUAGCAAACACGUCAAUUUAGCAUAAAUAUUGUUUCAUCUAUAUAACCAGCUUUUAGAGGACCUGUUUCAGUUUAUAAAUAACCCUUUCAAAUCCACAGAAACAACAACAAACUUCUCAAAGGUGUUUUCUCUAAUAUCCAGACAAUGUUAUUUCUAUUAUUUACUAAUAUAGCGAUCAAACAUGACAUCGUGGCAGACCCUUAAUUCAUUGCAUAUUUCUGGGUCCACGAGCGGGCAGUGCUCUCAUAUUUAGCUCUAUCAGUCUUGUACAUGUGAGCAAUCUCAGGCACCAGAGGGUCAUCGGGAUUUGGGUCUGUAAGAAGUGAGCAUAUUGACAGAAGAACCUACAAAACAGACAGUUACAGCUAAUUAAAAGGUUAUGCAUGUGAGAAUAUAAUAAUAUUCAAGGGCUUUGUUAGGAUUGGAAUUAUGUUAAUCAAUGAUGAACAUGGUGUCCAUCUAUGAUUCAUGCAGAUUACAUAAUGGGAAUUAUAUUAAGUGUAUUACCUUGGAUAUGGUAAGGGCAGGGCUCCACUGCUCCUUGAGAAUGUCAAGACAGAUGCUUCCAUUGCUGUUGAUGUUAGGAUGGAAAACCUUUGUACGGAAAGAAACCUUUACAGAAGAUAAUUACUACAAUCAGGUAAAAUAGAAUCCUAAGAAUCACCUACUUUUGCAUAUAAUAGAAUAUAUAUAUAUAUAUAUAUAUAUAUAUCUCACAAGGAAAUACCAUAAAUUCAGCUUAAGAUAGAAAAAGUAUAACUUCUGCCAAAAUAAGCAGACAUGGCAGGUAAUAGACUACAUUUUUAAGUAACAAGAGCACAGGCACAUAGAAGACAGCAACAAAUUCCAACAAAGAAAAAAAAAAAAGCUAGCUAAUACAUGUUCAAGACAUUCGUUUAAACUCUUAAUUAAACCAAUGUUACAAAAAUAUGGACUAUUUUAGCAUACUAAAAAGAAAUCCACUCCCCUUUAUAAUCAGAAGCAGUGUUCUUUUUUCUCUGUAUUCUCUGUUUGUUAAAGCUGCUAUCUCAGAAAAGAUUUAAAUCUCUUUCAUGUGAUAAUAACACAAAAUCUAGCUUUAGCCCAACCACCAACCAUCCAAACCAAAUGAUACUGAUGUUUCAAUUAUAUAUAAAAUAAAACAGAUCUGAUUAGCAAGAGAAGAAGAGAAACAUUUCCAAGCAUUCCAUGACAUGUGCACAAGAGAUUUCUUGAUAGGCAGUCAAUCAGACACAUAAUAGUUGGAUGAAAUACAUGCUUUUUUUUUUUUUUUACCUUAGGUGGCUUGAACGGAUAGUCUGGGGGGAAGUGAAUGGCCACAAGGAAGACUCCUCCAGCAAAAGGACUGUCUGAUGGGCCCAUGAUUGUUGCUUGCCAGUGGAACAUAUCAUCAGCAACGGGGCCUGUAUACAUGCAGUAUUAUUUUAAAGAAACAAUUAAAUUAUUUUUCAUGAAAAGGUGCAAUCUGACCAUGUUCUCUAUUCCAUAUAUUGGCCAUUCUAAGGGGUUUUUGGAAAUAUUAAUCAAAACCCUGUCAGUAUCUAAACACAAUAACCAGUUGUCCCGUUCAUGGCAAAAACAGAUUACAGCUAACAACUUGUGGUAUUACUACUUGCCACUAAAGACUUACACCAUCUUGAAUUACCAACACCAAGAGAUUCAGUUAAACAAUCAACAACAAUAUAUAAUGGAUGAAGCAGAAAAUAAUCAUAUAGAUCGUAGGAACAUGAAUCACUAGGUUUAAUUAAUUCCACCAAAUUCAUAAUUGACUUAAAAGUAAAGAAAUUUAAUGAAUAAAGGAAACAAACCGGCACUGCAUGAAGCAGGAGGGUCCUUCUGCAGAUCCUUCAACUCCUUGUUAAUCCGCUUUGAAGCCAUUCAAAAACUCUCUAAAGUCUUCAACAAACAAUUGGAUGAUAACUGCAUUAAAAUCAUAUAUGAAAAAAUGCAAUAAUAAAGAAUCUAAAUUAAUAGUAACCCAACUAUCCUUUUCCAUUAAUAAAUUAUUUUAAUAGUCAACCGUGGAACAACAAAUAUUACAAAAUUUUUAAUUUUAUAUAAGAAAAACUCAAAGGUCUAAAAUUUUGAUGGAUUCAACAUAGUAUAAUACUACAAUUUAUUUAUGUGGAGCGGAGCUAAGUGACUCUAUUAAGAGCAAUUAAUGAUCUUUUUCCAGAUUUUCUAGGCAAGCAAACAAAGGCAUGGACAACAUAUAUUAUCAACAUAAAAAAAAAAAAAAAAACAGAGAUUAAAUUAAUAACAUAUAUUUGUAUUUUAUUUUAAAAAUUAAAAAAAAAAAAGAGAAAGAGAGAUGAAAACACCGAUCCAUCACCAAAAACAUAAUCGGAUUAAAAAAAUAGGGGAUAAAAUCAUAUUCUUGGGAAUCAAAAGCGAAGCAAAUAGUAGUAAAUCAAAAUGUAAAAAAUCUAAAAUAAGAAUAAAAAAGAAAAGAAUUUGGUGUAAAAAUUGAAUCGGAAAAAGAAAAAUCGAUGAAAAAGGAGAAAAGAGAGGUACCUGAAGGGGUGGAAAUGAGUGGAUUAGGGUAUGAAGCUAAAGAAGAAAAUAUUUGUGAAGUAAAAAAAUUCGGGGCUUUGGAUUUGAUAUUUAUUAUGAUUUAUAGAGAGAGAGAGAGAGAGAGAGGCGUUGGUGGCAGUGAUUCUCUGCCACGCGGCCCUCUUUAGUAUUUACUUGCCGCCUUCUUAUUCGCUCUUGUUUUUCUAAUUUCCAAAGGUGUCGGACGGCCUGAUCCGGGUGGUAUCGAGUCCAAUCCAAACAUGUUAUCAGCACUUUACGCGUUUAUAUUGGAGCGCAACUCAAUCCAAAUGUCGAGUCUAAGUAAAUCCAGAUAACUAAAGGAUAAAGCCCAAUUCUUUCAGGUCGACCCAAAUAGAUAUAUUCUUUAAAAAAUUAUAUUUUUAAUAUUUUAUUAAUUUUAAAAUACGAAUAAUUUAACAUAUAUAUUUUAAUAUUUAUAAUAUAAUAUUUCAUAUAUAUAUAUAUAUAUAAAAUAGCAAACUAGAGCUGUUGAUGAGUAUUUAGCUAGUAAAUUAAAAACUUAAUAUUGGGAGUUUGAGUAGGCCAAAAGAGGUGGUGCAUGUAUAUAUAUAUAUAACCUUGAGUUAUGUGUUCCGGAAAAGAGAUAAAGGAGAGUAAAUAAGCCUUUACCCCCCUUCCCCUUCACCCUCUAUAGUAGCCUAUUAUCCAAUACAAUAGAAAAGAGUAUUCUAUAUAGUGUCUUUUUUCUUGUCUUGGUUUUAGCUACUUUUCUCUUUAAGAAACUACCAUAGAGUUAAGGUGAAGUCCCUACUCUAUUCCUUGUCAGGAAUAGGGGACUUCCAAGUACGAGUUUAACAGAUAGUUAUGGAGUAGUCCCUAUUCUAUUCCGGACCUUUAAGAGUAGCCGGUCCGGAAUAGGGGACUACCUUUACGACUACGAGUUUAACUUCAGAGAAUAGCAGUUAUAGUAGGUAUCGUGCAUUCUAUACCUUUUAGAUACUGUUUAAAACGAGGAAUCUCCUUCCCCCCUCCUUUUCUAGACAGCUAUCGUUAUCGCUUUUGCUUUCGGAACCCUGCGUUCCCCGAUGGAACAGGGGAACUCCGGAUAGACCCCUUCCUAGACUCGAAAGAGACUAGAAGGAAUUCGUUCUUGCUUGACGGACCCCUGCGUUCACCUUCGGUUCUCUCCGGACGGACCCCUUCGGCGGACCCCCUGCGGGGCUAACCCGUACCAGUCCUAUCAAACGAGACUGAAAAACAAGUUAUUGUCUCUAAUUACAUAAGUGACUAAUGAACCUACUAGUAGCGGAAUCAGCUAAUCGAUAAGUGAAAGAGUCUUUAUUCAAUAAACUCAAAAGCACCCUUCUCACUCUUCUAUAUUAGCUGCUAGCUUAAAGGCUCAAGCUACUAUUAGACAAGACGGCAUUAGUUGGGGUAUGACAUCAGGAGAGCUUUGACUUGGGAUGGGUUCGACCCAUCUGUUUCAUAUACCCGUCAGGUAAAUCCUGACACGCAUGACCGAAACGACGCCGGCUCCAUACUGGAAACAUUACUAUCUUGUUCAGCAUAAUAUAAUGGUGAGUUAUGGUUUUUAGUCGAAGAAGAGGAGUCCAGGAAAGGAAACAAAGAAAAGGGAAGCUACAAUCGUGAGAGUGCCAUGCCCAUGACCCUCUCACUCGAAAGACGAGGUUUACGGCUGUCUUAUCUCUCUUCCCUCCCUACCAAUUAGUAGUCCGGGAGAGAAGAGAGGACAGCCUAAAGCCUCUACUCGUUACUGUGCCAUUUCGAUGGCCCAGUAACUCCUUUUUCGCUCUUUCCUGUCCUCUCCUCGCUCCUGUGCCAUUUUGAUGGCCCAUGAGCUCCUCUUCUGGACUCGUUAGAGAGGUUCCCUUGCCCCAAGGAACCCUCUCUAACUCCAUACUCGUUCUUUUGCUGAGCAAAAGAGUUCCAGGUGGUGAGGUAGAGUGAGGGAUUGCCCUCGCCCUUCGGGCUCCUUGAGUUAUGUGUUCCGGGGAAGGGGUAAAGGAGAGUAAAUAAGCUUUUAUCUCCCUUCCCCGGAACACAUAACUCAAGGUCCUCGUAGAACGAGAGCAAUCCCUCACUUUACACCCUCUAUAGUAGCUAUUAUCCAAUACAAUAGAAAAGAGUAUUCUAUAUAGUGUCUUUUUUCUUGUCUUGGCUUUUAGCUACUAAACCCUUUAAGAAAAAACCAUAGAGCUCUGCUUCGGUCCACCACCUGGGGGAUUAAAAAGGGGGUUUUUUUUAGUUUUUUCAGUUGUUUUCUUAGUUCUCUAAGGUAGUCCUGCUACGGUUCCAUAGAGAUCUUAUAAAGACAACCCGAGAAGUUAGAAAGAGGAAGACAUAAACUAGAAGGAGAAAGCCGAAGGAAAAAACAACUAGGAAGGAAAGCCUUAAAGAUACUAAUAGCUUUUUAAGGUGUUUCUUCAUCCUCCCCCCGAGGGGGAGAGAGGGGGUAACGUCCUUUUCAAGCUAUUCGAUUCGUCAAGGGUAGUCCCCUAUUCCGGACCGUCUACCUUUUAGGUCCGGAAUAGAGUAGGGACUACUCCUCUCUUAUUCCCAAGUCCUCUAUUCCUUCCCGGCCCACAAUAAAGGGAAGGAAUAGAAAAAGGACUUGACCGCUUUGUUAUUCCUGGCUUUCUUUCGAUCGGUUGUUGUCUUUUCUUUCCCUUCUGUCUUGUCUUCUCUUGCCUUCCUAAAGUCCCAAACGAAAAAACCCCAAUCCAAAUCCCAAUUCCCAGUAUGGAGCCACCUUCAUUCACCCCGGCAUGCCCACUUCCUUAGCUUCGUACUCUUUUUUUAAGUUUAAGGGAUAGUUGCCACCUCAACUAUCGAGCUACCUACCCAUCUCAGCUAGCUAAGCCUUCCGGUCCAUAGGUAAACGUCCGCCUUCUUGUAUUUCCAGCCGAGUCUGAAAGUCGUAUCUUGUUUCUUAAUUGAGUGACCUUCCUGAUUCUAAAGUCCUACUAUCAAACGUUACUCCCACUCAGAAUGGCUACUGGACAAGGAUGGGAAAGCAACUUCCCAGGAACUUGACUCAUCCAAAUGAGACUUGAUCCCUACCUCUAUAAGUCGGAUUCUAAGCGCUACCCCCUGCAUAGGUAGUACUCCCUUCCUGUUUCCUUAUCUUCUUCUCGGUCCCGGUAUAGAACGGAAACAAAGCCAAAUACGUCUUAACCCAUCUAACAAGCACUUAUAGAGCACCGCAGAUCCCUUUCUUCUUGUUAGCCCCGGAGUUAUAAGAAACUUGGGGGUAUCUCAAGUAAAAUAGAUCGAUCCCGGAUCUAACACAAUUGCUUAAGAUCCAAGGGUUAUGUCGAUAUCUAGCGUGGCAUGGUGCGUACCGUCGUGAGAGUGAGUUCAAUCUUGUGUGUAAAUGAAUGAAAGUCAAGGUCUCCUAUUCUAUUUCGAUUUGACUUUCUACGGUGGCGUCAGAGGUUCGGUGAGUGGCAUUGCCCUCCUUAGCUUCUUCGUCAUACCGACCUGACGCCUGUUCGUUACGAAAACAAGUGCUUAGCCGACCUGAUACCUUUUAUCCAGAGUGUGAAAACCACUCUCAACUAUGAAUAGGACUCUUAAUAGGCUUUACUUAAUAACGAGUAGGUUUCCUUCCCGGAAAAAGACCUAACUUUACGUAACCCGGACAUUAAAUCCCUGUACUUCUAACCCAGAGCUUCUUGCUUGAACGCUUGCUUGAAAGAAUAAGGUGUUUGAUCCUGAAAUGCCGCACCCUUAUUCGCAAUAGCCUCGUCAUGCCCAGCGGAUCCAAUAGAAAAGCGGUGACCUUUUUUUGCUUUGGGAACUGAAUAAUCGAUUUCUGGGGCCUACCUUUACCACCUGUAGUCACAUCACCUAGGGCACAUAAAUAAUUGCAUGACCCGGAGAGGAGACCCACGCUAGCUCCUUGACUAAGUACCGCCCCGAUCCGACCUGUACAACUACCUUUCCAAACCCUGACCUGGGCAACCAGAGCGCCCACCUAUAUUAAACUAAAAAGUACAUGCCACCAC